This 57120-nucleotide long non-coding RNA is filed under the name Coffea arabica (coffee). RNAcentral describes it as "long non-coding RNA (CARA_LNC008258)". The stretch from base 42495 to 42601 matches the Rfam family "Plant small nucleolar RNA R71". Lineage: Eukaryota; Viridiplantae; Streptophyta; Magnoliopsida; Gentianales; Rubiaceae. The record is from RNAcentral.
CAUGGCUCGCUGUUUUAGAUCACUACUCAUAGCAAUAACAUCCCUGUGGAUGUUAUCUUCAGUACUGAUCAGGUCUUCCGAUGCUGCUGGAAUUGCCACCUACUGGGGCCAACACACCGACGAAGGAAGCCUGGAAGACGCAUGCCGGAGAAAUACCUACGACUACGUGAAUCUUGCCUUUCUGAUAAAUUAUGGCGGUGGCCAGACACCAGAAUUGAACUUAGCUGGGCAUUGUGAGCCAAGCGAUUGCUCCUCGCUUAGUUCUGAGAUAAAAGCUUGCCAGAGCCGAGGCACCCAAGUGCUUCUUUCUCUCGGUGGAGCUCCAAACCUCUCUUCCGCCGAUGAUGCCAAGGAAGUCGCGUCCUAUCUCUAUAAUAAUUUCCUUGGCGGUAAAUCAGAAAAUCGUCCAUUAGGCGAUGCUGUCUUAGACGGAAUAGACUUUCAUAUCCAAGCUGGAAAGAGGGAUUUCUUGGAUGAUCUCGCCAAGGCGCUCUCAGAAUAUAGCACAUCAGAGAGAAGGGUGCACUUAUCUGCAGCACCACAAUGUUUCUAUCCUGACUAUUAUCUCGACGCUGCUAUCAGAACUGGCCUCUUUGAUUAUGUGUGGGUGCAAUUUUACAACAAUCCGCCUUGUCAGUAUAGUAUGGGCAAUGCCAACAACCUCUUCUACAGUUGGAGUUCUCAUUGGGCUUCAUACCCAGGAGUUAAUAAACUAUUCCUGGGAUUACCUGCAUCCCCUGAAGCCGCUCCUAGUGGCGGUUACAUUCCACCUCGGGUGCUUAUUCGCGAAAUUCUUCCCUAUGUCCGGGGCUAUCCCAACUAUGGAGGCGUCAUGCUUUGGAACGCAUUCUAUGACGAGAAUUACAGUCAGGCAAUCAGGCCUUAUAUUAACCCUGAAACGCUGGCUUGCGAUCGCAAGUCCAUGCUAAAGUCCCCAAGCAAUUGCGACAUAAAGAUAAAGUCUUAUGUGACUAAAUAAGUUCCUCUCGUUGUCAUAUGAGAGAUGAAAAAAUGUAAUCAUGGCUGUCUAAGCCAGAGAUAACGUGAAUAAAUAUAACAUGGGUUAUCAAUCCCCAGAGUUUGAUUGUCAAUUCGUGUUUGUUCUUGAUUAUAAUUUAGCACGAACGAUAUCAUUAGUUCUAGUUUCCUCUUAUUCUUCGGGAAAAAAAGGUAUUAAAGAAGAAAAGAACAUGCAAAAAGUGCCAGAUCAAAGUCAAUAUCAUUAGAGAUAUAUGUUCUCCAAAAUCAAUGUGUUCAUACAAGAACCUUUUAUGUUUCGGCACAUCUCUACUGUUGAGAAUAUUUAUGGUUCUGUUUGCUUCCACUCAAUGUUUAUAUUAUAUGUAAAACUAAACUUCCAUCACUUCCAGACUUUAAUGUGAAUUGACGGAGCAGCACAAUUAUCCUGGAAAGUUAUGAAUAAUGCUUUUUUUUUAAUAAUGAAAACAAUGAUGGCCAAAACUUAAGAUUGGUGUAAAAUUCAGUUUAUAGUUUCACAUUAAAAAUUAUAAGGAUGGUAUGAACGCCACCAGGUACUUAUUAUUGUGUUUUAAACUUGAAAAGCACAUUUUUUUUUAUUUGGUUUUUUAUGACACGAUAACUUGAUGAUCCAAUUAUUCAAGUUGCCAAAGAGGGUGGCUAGAAAUAAAAGUCUAAAAUUGAAGAACUAAGUGCACUUUUGAUAUACUUGAAUUUAUUGUUUAUUAUAUGGAAAUAGUUUUUCAAUUUCAAAUGAUUUUGAUAUUUCGAAUGCUUUGGCAAGUUUAUUUGGACAAAGCUGUAGAAGCAGAAUAAGGGAAAGCCUUGGAAUAUAAUGAUGAUGAUGCUAAAAAUGAAGAUGUUAGUGUUUGAUUUGCAAAAGCAUUGGUAAGAAUAGUACUUAUUAUCUAGCUCUUUGGCCUUAUUAGUUUUUAGAUUUUCCUAAUAGUGUCAUUCUACACUUGUUUUUCUUUUUCAAGAUGAAGAAGAUUCAGCUGGUAGAGAAGUCAAGGAAGAGAUUAUAAUUUGUGUUGGCUUUAUUGUAGUACAAUUUAAUUAUUUUUUGGUAAAAUUUUAAUGUCUUUAUUACCAAGCAAUUAUGGAUUGUAAUCUCUCAAAGAAAAGGAAAAAACAAGAGAGAUUAUAUUAUUGAGAAAUUCUAUUAAUAAAGAUAAAGCUGUAGAAUAUGUAUACAAUGAUAAAUUACAACAAGUUACCAUAUUAUACAUUUCCAAUUUUUCAAAAAAAAAAUUUGAGAACAACACAACUACAAUUUUACUAUUUACAAGAUUUCACGACAAGUACUCACUCCCGCACCUUGCGUGGGUUCACCCCUAGUUUCACAAUAUGAGAAUAAGAAGAAAUAUUUACAGCAAAGUUUAGAGACUCUAGAAUACAGGAAUGGGACAGGUACGAUCGACUACAGGUGCAAUUGACGCAGUUGUUAUACCCUUUUCAUGAUUUGAUUUAUACUUACAUAAUUUCGCUGUAUUUUAUGAUUUGGUGUAUACUCACAUAAUUUUUAUUAUAUUUCAUGAUAAAUAAUAAAGUUAUAUGAGUAUAUAUCAAAUUAUAAAAAAGUACAAUAAUCGUGCCAACCACAACUAAUACCACACCGUACUUGUCCUACUGGAAUACUUAGUUAAUAUUCGAGACUGAGACCAUAGAGCAUUAAUCCUUCUCACAUUGUAUCAAACAGAGGUACUGUUUGACAAUUGAAUUUUUUGGGUGUUUGUCCAAAAUUUUACUAUAAGUUAUCGUAAAAUUUGUAAAAAAAAAACUUGUUUGGAUGGUAAAACUUUCUUCCUUUUUUUUAUCUUUUCUUUUUCCUCUCCUCUUGUUUCUCCCCCACCCAACCAUUGCUCUUCCUCCUCCCCUUCUUCCCACUACUAGCCACCAUUGCCGGUACCUUUGUCGGCAAUCGACAACGGUGCCAGUAGACCUAUUUUUUUCUUACUCUCUUUUCUCCCCUUCUCCCCCCCUCUCCUUCCUCCCUUUCCUCCUUUCUUCUCCUUCUUUCCUCCUUCCUACUCCCUCCCUUUGGGAGAUGGAGGACCGGAAGGGGGAGCGGGAUAGGGAGGGAGGAGGAAGGAGAUAGAGGAGAUGAGGAGAGGAAGGAAGAAGGAAGUAGAAGAGGGGAAGAGGAGAGAAGGAGGGGAAAAAAGGGAUGAGGUUGCCAAAGGCGCCGCCAAAGUGCCAACUAGCAGUAGUGGUGAUGGUGGGUUGAGACGUGGGAAGGAGGAAGAAGAAGAAGAAGAAGAAAAGAAAGAAGGAAAAAAUUUUUUUGUGUGUUUUUAGAUAUUUUCAAGUGUGUAUGUUGAAAAGUUCUUGAAGAGUUUUUUUUCAUUUUAUUGUAGUUAAAACUGUUAAAAAAACUUACAAAUGAAAAACUUAACAAAAAACUCGCUAAAUAGGACUAGAGUUUUGAUGGGCUAUGAUGACACAACGGAGGCAGCUCCUCCAUCCAGCCUAAGGAUAACAACAGAUGCAGCUCCUCCAUCCAGCCUAGGGAUAUCUGUAAUCUAAAGAAAGCUCCAGAACAGAGAGGUGGAACCAGAAAUAGUUUCUACUAGGCGCACAAACUGCUCCUAUUGGUUAAUUAGAUUGAGUUACAACUUAGAUCAAUGGCCUAAACCUUAACCACUACAAUCACCGACGCAUUUUUCUUUUCUUUUGCUCCAAAAAAAAGCUUAAAGUUAUAGUAAAAAUUAUUGGUAACAAAUGAAAAUCUAAAUUUAGCUCUAAAGUAGGCUAUAUUAUAGUAAUUGAUCCUCUCCUUAAUUUCACUCUUCCAGUAACUUUGAUAUAUCAUAAAUGAUCAUCCAUUAUUAUAGAUCUUGCUUUCUCCUUUCAAAAAUUUUUAAUUUGGAGCAAACUAUUUGAUUUUUAGUCAAGUUCCUACGUUGCACAACUCUACAUUGUGGAAUCUGUGAUUCGUAGUAUCUUGCCAAAUCUUCUUAAUUUGUUUAGUAUCUUGCACAAUCCAGCUUGGAAAGUUGGACUAGUUUGGGAAGUAAAAGAAAUGGAGUGUUGCUCCUAAUUUUUGGCCAUGAGGAAGAGAUCAACAAUUUGUUCAAUAUUUCUUCUUUUAACAUUAAAAGGAAAUGAAGGAGUGCAACAUAAAAUCUCAUAAAAUUUAGAAUCCUGUGUUUUGAUUGCACCCAAAAAAAGAAGAUGAGGUGGAAUUGUGAACACGAUAGAGACUUAGUAGAAUUAAUCAAAAGAAUUUAUUCUGGGAAUUAAUCAAAAGAAACCAUAAAAUAUUAUAGAAUUCAAUGGCCUAGACAGCAUUUGAUAAAACUGAAAAUUGAUUUCUGAAAUAUAAAGACUGAAAACUAAUUCCUAAGUUCUUAAUUUGCUUAUAUCCAUGAAGUCACAUCUAUUUGAUAAUCAAUUUAAUGCAAGCAUUGAAUUGAAAUAUUUAUUCCAUAUGUAUUUUGUAGUUUUUUUUUUCAACCAAACGUUGUACCAUUAUUCAAGCUGCCCAAGAAUACAAUGCUGGGAGGAAGGCCGCACCCUUACCUCCGAAACGAGAAACGAAAAUUACAAAAAUUCUGCUUAUCCAGUGCCAGUAACCCUCUAGUACGACACAGUAAUUGAGAAGCCCAAUGUAUUUUGUAGUUUAAUCCUAAAUGUGAAAGGUGUGUUUUAUGUUAGAUUAAUUUUUAAAUAUUAUUUUUUUGAUAAAUGUUUGUUUGAAAGAAGAAAAGCAUAGAUUCUACAUGUUUGAAGGGGAGAUUGUAUUUAGAUGUAUUAUAUAGAAGAAAAAAAAUAUAUAUAUAUAUAUUCUAGCGAGAGAGAACGUGUGUGGAUGUGUGAAAAUGUGAUCGAAAGAGAGUGUGUGUAUACUGUGUGAAAGUGUAUUGGUGAGCGCAAUGAUUCUUUUGAGUGAAUAUGAUUAAUACAUAUACUAGUUCAACAAAUUAAGUGAUACAACUUUCGUGUAAAUUUUUGUAUGUAAAUCAAAUGUGUCAUAAAUAUAAGCAAAUUUUAUUAUCAAACAAAUGUAGCAGGAAAGAAGUACUUAAUACAAUAACUUUGCGUACUUAAUGAGGUUAUCAAAUAUCUCCUUAACUCUAGAAAAAUAGUCUAUUAACAAAUUUGUGUUGAACUUAUUAAAUUGAACCAUGAAAUUUUUCCCAAGACCUCCAUUUAAUAGUGGGAUUUGUGUUGCAACAUGGUGAGGAUAUUGGACAGGUAACUAUGAGGUCGUAGUCAAACUUUCAAGAGAGAAGGAAAUGGUAAAAGAGCUCUUUACUUGGCUUUAAAUGCUGUAUCUUUAACGGGUAGGGUUUUUUUGGGAAGGGUUCCAAAAACAAUCAACGAAGGCUAGUGGCAAAUCAGCACGGAAAGAAGAUAAACCGAGAUUUCGGCGGCAGCUGGCAUACUUUCUUUCCUGAUUGCGAAACACCAUGUCGAAGCUAGGGUAUUUUAUCCAACCAGCCUAGAUUAGAAUUUCAAGACGUACGGCUUCUUCGAGUAAAGAAAGUUCAGCCACGAACACUCCUUUCACGACCUAUUCAGAACUAAGUACACCUUAGAACAGAAGUGCUCGUUAACUAGAUUCCCUUCUUAUUUCAAAAUCAAUACUGAUGGGUCCUCGAUCCAUGGGGAACUCGGGUCCAGCUGGAUCAGGUGACUUGAAUAGAAAUCACCUAGGACACUAGGUAGCGGCCUUUAGCAAAAAAUUAGGACCCAUUACCAAUAUCCUUGCUCAGUUGUGGGGGACAAGAGAUGGGGUAUCCUUAGCUUCCUCUCUCACUUGCAAAAUAUUGAAUUAGAAGUUAAUGCUAAAACUGCUCUAGAUUUGAUUAAAUCUGUUGAUACCUCAACUCAUGAGUAUGAUUCAAUUAUUUCUAAUUGGCAGGUUCCUGAUCUCUGUUCUGUCGAAAGUUAUACUUAGAUAUACUUAUCGAAAGUUAAUCAGUAUGAAGAUAGAUUAACGAAAUUAGGUGCUCAGCAAGACACGAUUUUUGUAUGUUAUGAAAGUGUCCCUCCUAAUUUAAAAAUCUAGUAGAUGCAGAUAUUAAGGGAAUUUGUCACUUUGUGCCUAUAACUUAAUAGUCCCUUUGUUACAAACAAAAAAAAAAAAAGAAAGAAAGAAAGAAAGAAGGUUCAGCGACUGGCAUUUGUUCAAUAUGAAUCAUAUUACAAAAAAGGGGUUCAUGAAACAUGCAACACCACACUGCAGAAGUGGUAGGCGCCGCAUCUAUCGAUGAUGAUUGAGACCAAACUUGAUGAGAAGAUUCUAAAACAGGUGUCUCAAGAAAGCUGUAAUAGAAAAACAUGUCAACGUAAUCAGGAUUUCCAUCGUAGAAUUUAGCAAACCGCAUAUACCCUAGAUCCUGAAAUCCUUGGUGCAACUGACUCAUCAUUAACAGAGCUAUGUUUGAAAAGAUGUCAGUUUCUGCAAGAGCAUGAACCUCAAAAGAAUUUGAAGAAAUUGUCACUGGUGGAGAUAGGUAUCAAGGAUGAAUUUUGCAGUUAACUUGGUGCAAAAGUACAGGAAUCUCGUGACUCUGAAAACAAGAAUCAGGACGGGUUUGAAACUAUCAAUUUGAAAAGAGAAAACACAUUCAAGAGGCAAUAUUUUAAGUUGUUUAACGAAUAAAAAUGUUGAAAAGUAUAUUAAUAGAAACUUGUAAAAAUGAAAACUUACAUGAACGCAACUGUGGCCUAUACAUUUUUUUGCCUGUGACAACAUUUUUCCUUCUUUAUAUUUUUUUAACUUUAGUGCUGUCAAUUCAAUUUAAAGUAUCUUUCAUUUCAGCAUACCUGUCCAUUGAUAGUCUCAUACUUUAUGAAUUACUUUGUUUUUUUUUGAGCACUUCAUGAAAAACUUUGUCAUGUUAUGACCCAAUAAUUUGUCCAUAACCUGUGAUCGACUUUUUUCUGAGCACUUGAUGAAAAACUUUGUCGUGUAUUGUUCUAACAAUGUGUUUUCUAACAAUUUUGUCCAUAACCUUUGACUCAAUUUACUCGCAACCUAAUGAAUACACAAGCACCCUACUCCCGCACAAUUGGACGGGCUUAAUUCUCUAGUCUUUUUUUUUUUUUUUCUCUUUUGAUAAAAACAUCAUCAUUUUGUUGAAUCUGUAGUAGUGGGAGAAAUUACAUCAAUGAUAUAUAGAUAUAGAUUUGAAGAACAAAUGCUAGAUGUUGUAGAUCUGAAUAAUCAAAAGCGUCUUUAUUGUGGAACUCAAAAAACAUCAAAUGAUAUCUGCGCAUACUUCCACCGAUACCAUUUACUUUCUCCUAAAUAUGCUCAUGAACUGAUUCAAGCCUGGAUGCUUAGAUGAGAUCUGAAGAGAUAGAUUUAAGAAAUCUCAAAUCUGGCAACUAAGUCUUAAAAAAAAUUAGAUCUAACACUAGAAAUAGAAAAACUACAAAAAGUCCACUAAGAAUCCACAAAAUCACCAACAUCAUCUUUACUGCAGCCAUCGUCGACCAUUCGAUCUUCAAUUUUACUUCCCUUCGAUCAACUUUUUUUCAUCAGAUUUCAUCAUAUCAUCAACCUUAUUUCAUCAAAUUUAAAUUUCACAAUCCUAAAAAGGAUAAACCAAAACAUCAAAAAGAGCCCAAUCUUGCAAAAUUUUAACCUUGCACACCACUGAAUUAAGCCCUCUUUUGCAAAAUUUCUUUUUCAUAAAAAUUUGUGAGAAUUAAUGUGUGCAACCUAUGAAUGUUUGGAUUUUUUUAGAUUAUUAGUCUUCUUGAAUUUGUCCCCUCCUUAAUUUAUUUAGUCAUUUGUAUGCAAUUUUGUAAUCAUAUAUUCUUUUUACGUGAGGAAGACUGAUUUUGGAUGAAUUUUCUAUUGACUCAAUAUCAAAUUUGCCAUAGCAUGUUGGAAAAAUGCCUAAACUAAAUUCAUGGUUGUUCAUUGUUUCUUUCUUCUUCUCUUUUUGUUUUUUUUUGGUGUAGCUAGAUAUUGAAAGGGUUGAAGAAAGGGGAAGGAAAAUUUAGUAUUGAAUUUGAGUCUUUGCACUUGCAAUUAAUUUGUAGGUGUUCUUGGUUUCUUACAGUUGAUGACGGAUUAUUACUGACGAGUUCCAUGUGAACUAUCUUCAAUUACAAAUAGAAAUAAACCGGAAAUAUUUCUUAGAAUGGUACCCUAAGAUAAUGAUUAUGAAAUCAAUAAUCAUCGCAAGUGGAUUGUCAUAAUUAAAUAUGUAAAGAUAUAUAAUACUGCAGCCGGUUUGUUUGUGAUGGCUAAUCUUUUCCUAUGUGCUCCAUUUAGUGAAACUUCAUCUAUCUUGAUCACGUGAACCACGUACAAUCAUAUGUACAACCAGUUAAUUUAUUUGGGUCCUUGCAAGUAAAUUUUCAAUUCAGAUUUAUUGUUUGCUUCGGGAUAGAUUUAACUUACCAAAAAAGAAAAAGUAAAUUUCAGCAGCAAAGCCUUCAAGUAAUUUUGAAGUGGGAAAAUCAUUUAAAAGUCCCUCACAUUUCACUAAAUAAAAAUUUUUUUAUCCUUCACUUUAAAAUAAUAACUUUACGUUUCUUAUAAAAUCAAGUCAGUAAAAUUUAGUUCAACUUAAGUUUUUUACUACUUUUUACCCUGAAUUCAUCACAUAAUCCAAAUAUGGUCAUUUUUUUGGGACAAAAAGGUUAAAUCUCAUUUGUAGUCAAACAAAUGAUUUGAUCCAUAACUAUUUUGACACUAAAGAGUAGGAUCUGAUCUAAAUCAUAUUUAUUUUUCUCUUGAAAAGUGGGAUCUAAUUUAAUUCAUAUUCAUUUUUAUCCUAAAAAAGUGAAAUUUGACUUUUUUGUAUAUAAAAUAAUUUCAUGGGAGUCACAUGGUGAUUUCAAGUUAAAAAGUGGUAAAAAAAAACUUAGAUUCGAACCAAAUUUUGUUAACUUGAAUUUAUAAGGAACCUAAAACUAAUAUUUUAAAAGAAAAACGAAAAAAUUCAUUUGACAAAAUAUACGAGACAUUUUGAAAGAUUUUCCCUUCUGAAGUUGUCUUUUGAAUAUUACCUAUCCUUUGAUUUCCUAUUGUACUCCCUUUCAGUGAUUUAUUGGGAGCUCCUCUUUGGAAAUGUUCCUCACAAUGGGAUCUCAACGUUAUUUGAAAACAUGAAAAUUGCAAAGACAAGUUGGUCAUAAGCCGAUGACAUUAGCCUUAUUUGGAUUACAAGUUUUCACAGAAAAAUUUUAAAAUAUUUCUUGACAUAUUUUUUAAUCACAUUUUUAUCUUAUAUAUGUCAUAUUUAUUAUUAUAAUAUUUUUUUUUUAUAAAAUGCUAUAAACUUAUAUACAUCCUAUUAUCUUAUGUAUGUCAUAUUACUAUAGUAUAUUUUCAACGAGACUGUGAACUUACAAUUCAAACUGUAACUUUCAUUUUAGUGCGUCCCUUCUAAGUGAUUUUAGUGCGUUCACUUCAAUUCAUGCACGUGAAGGGGAAGGACUGGUCCAGAAUUCUGUAGAAGGACAAUAAUUUGGGUAAGGACUGGAAAAUUCAAUUGAAACAAGACAAGAAUGUCGCAUUCGAAGUGCGAUAAUUUUGGUGUCAAUCAACGUCACUAUUAAAAGAAGAUAAGAUUGUUGAUAAAUCCAUACAUCAAAUCCGUAUCCAAUAUCUUUACUCGAAAAUUGUGCUCCCGCAAGAAAGUACAAGUAAACUCUUAUAUUCAUCAAAUAUGAUGUGGCCGACAGAAAAGUUCAGGCUAAGAUGCUCUUAUACUUGAGUGAAGGGAGAAGGUUGAUUUAAAUUAUUACUGUCAAAGAAAUUCAUUUAACUAAAUUUAUCUAUAUUCGCUCAUAAAUAAAUGAGUAUGUGUAUAUUAAAUUUUUACAUAUGGAUAUAAAUGAAUAUUAUUAGAUAACCCAUCAAACUUAAUUAAUCCAUUUAAAAUUGUCUUCUCCCAAACUUUCUCUCUUCCUCCACCCUUUUUUUAAAUUUUUUUUUCAUUUUGUCAUGAUGUUAACUACUUUUGUUUCAUUAUUAUUAUUAUUAUUUGUUAGUUUUAUCUUAUCAUUUUAUUUUCUUUUAAUUUAUUAACUUGCUCAUUUUUCAAUAUUACCAAUUUAUGACAAGUUUUAAAUUCUUUUCUUAUUUUUCCAAAAUAAAAUUUUAAAUUUACACACAAAAAAAUGCUAGGGUUCAAAACUUUUGGAUUAAUUUUUUAUGUUAACUUUUAUAAUAUUUAGUUCAAAUUUUUAUAUUCUUAUUGUUUAAUUAUGAAAUAGUAUGUAAUUUUGCGACAUAGAGUACGGAUGGGAAAAAAAUUGAUAAUUAGGCUUAUUGAACAUUAUAAGUAAAUAUUUAAAACUAAUGAUGGGUGCAAAGAAUGGUAUAAAUUGAUAACUUAGUUUGCAAAAAUGAAUUUACAAAAAGUUAAAAAUAAAUGGGUUAUAAAUGGGUAAUUGGGUUACCCAAUUUAUUUUUUGACUUAUCCAUUUAUAUCCAUCUAAUUAAAUGGGUAUAAAUAAGUUGACUCACUUAUAUCCAUUACCCAUUUUACCCAAUCCAAACGCCCAAAUCAUCCAUUUUGACACCUCUAAUUUAAACCUAUUCAUCAUCAAUUUUGAUUUACAUAUUCUAAUAUGUUGCCACAAAAAAAUCAGGGACAGGGAAAAUUAUUUUAAAAUAUAUAAAAAUAUGUGAAAAGAGAAAGAGAAUAAAUAUACAAUAUAACUGAAAUAAUUUUAUAAACUAAACUCAACAAUAAGACUCACAAACAACAAUUUUAGAAGCUUUCUCUCAUUAUCCACAACUUAACUCUCUCUUCAAGAAAACAAUGAAAUGGUACUACUCAAUUUAUAGAGUAUCCAACGGACUCUAGUCACAAAGGAAUAGGACAAUGGACAAAUAUAUAUAUAUAUAUAUAUAUUGCAAUUCUGAACCGACGACAGUAUUCCUCUCCAAAAUGAUAAAUGUAACUUGCUAAGCUUUAAUGACCAGACACAUCAACUUCUAAAUUCUUCAACUCACUAGACCAAGAAAAAGAAGUUGCCACAUAACUAAUUUAUUCUAAUAAUUAGUCUUGGUUUAAUUAUCUACACAACCAUUGGUCAUCUUUCUUGGGCAAUUACAUAAUCAAUCCAACCUUGCUACUUGUCAGCCUUGAAGGACAGCGCUUGGAAAUUAAUUAACAGCUUAUCAUAUGCGCUACAAAAUGCAGAAGUUUAAUCUAUAGAUUUAUCUGUAGACCUUGUAAUCAAUUGGUGAGUCACAUUGAUUAAGUGAUGUAUGUUUACUUUUUCGUCCCAUUUAUUUAGUCAUGUUUGACAAAUCUAGCUUUUAAAAAUAGUGAUUUGAUUGUGAUGUUUGUACUUUUUUUUCAAUUUUACUCUCACAAAUUUAAAUUUUAAAUUUGAAUGGUAACAUGAAUAUAAUUAAAAAGAAAGGCUAUAUUUAAAAGGGAGAUUAAAAGGUACUUUGAUUUUUUUUACAUGAUAUUUUUGGAAUAUUCUAAAAUGAAAAAUACAGCAAUUUUAAUGAGACGGAAGAAGUAUAUUAUUAGUAUUAGAUUAUAAAAAAAAUUGAUGUGACUAUAGAGUCCAAAAAUAUCUUUCAAACCCAUUCAGGCUAGGUAAGGAUACGCCAAGAACGAAAUACGGGAAGAUAACAGGUGCAUGGUUGGGACUUGGGAGGAUGAGUAGAAAGGAUGUACUCCUGUUUUUAUUUGUCCAUUCUGUAUCGACGUGGAGACUUGGAGCCGCGAGUUUAGAAAUUAGUGACUUUCAUAGCUAAGGACAGGUUAGGUCAGUACAAUAAUUGCCCCAUCCAUUAUUGCGCAUUAAAAGGGACCCAUUUCUCAUUAUCGGACUCGGAUGUUUGCCUUUAAGUUGCUGGGCACUUAUCUUAAAGGAAUAUUCUUUUUACCUUUUACUGCGUUACAUGCCAAACGAUAGCUAUUAUUAUUAGAACUGCAUAGUUUGUGGGGAUAAUUGCAGAAACCUCCCCUGAGGUUUCUGACAUUUUCACUGACCUCCCCUAUGGUUUGAAAAAUUACACUGACCUCCCCUGAGGUUACUAAUCCUUUGCAAAUUUAGUCCAAACGAUUAAAAUAUUAUUAUUUUAGGGAGUGAAAUUAGAAUUUUGUACUAGAUUUGCCCUUUGUACUACAUGUCCAAUGAAUGACAAAGUAUUAUAAAUCAAUUAACAAUUAAUAAACUUUAAGGAGUAUAACUUAUGGGCAAACACGCAUUACUCAUUUAAAGUACCGGCUCUUUACGGGUAUUUUACUUUCAAACAUUUAAUUUAUGAUAAAUAUAUCAAUAUUUAUACGUAAAAUUCAAAAAGUGUUACAGUAAUAUUCUUGCAAAAAGGAAAUUGGUAGGUUAUUGAUUUAAUAUAAAUUAAAUAUUUUUUUUUAAAAAAGAAAUGGCCCAUAAAGUAUUAAUUCUUUAUGACUUUCAUACAUUACAUAAGUAAAGUAUUCGCUCUUUAUGUGCAUUUUAUUCUGAAUCAUUUAAUUUAUGUUAAAUACAUAAAUGUUUGUAACUAAAAUUGAAAAAGUGUUAUAUUAAUAUUUUUACAGAAAAGAGAUUGGUAGGUUUUGUAUUUAACAAAAAUUAAAUAUUUGAAAGUAAAUACAAAUCUGUAUUUGAGCGUAAAUAUUUGUAUUAAAUUAAAUGUUUGAAAGUAAAAUACCCGUAAAGAGCCGGUACUUUAAAUAGUUACCGGCUCUUUAUGGGCAAACACGCAUUAUUUAUUUAAAGUGCCGGCUCUUUACGGAUAUUUUACUUUCAAAUAUUUAAUUUAUAAUAAAUAUAUCAAUGUUUGUAAGUAAAAUUUAAAAAGUGUUACAGUAAUAUUCUUGCAAAAAGGAAAUCAGUAGGUUAUUUAUUUAGUAUAAAUUAAAUAUUUUUUUCAAAAAAAGAAAUGAUUCAUAAAGUAUUAAUUCUUUAUGGCUUUCAUCCAUUACAUGAGUAAAAUAUUGGCUCUUUAUGGGUAUUUUAUUCUGAAUCAUUUAAUUUAUGUUAAAUACAUAAAUAUUUGUAACUAAAAUUGAAAAAGUGUUAUAUUAAUAUUUUUACGGAAGAGAGAUUGGUAGUUUUUGUAUUUAACAAAAAUUAAAUAUUUGAAAGUAAAUACAAAUCUGUAUUUGAGCGUAAAUAUUUGUAUUAAAUUAAAUAUUUUAAAGUAAAAUACCCGUAAAGAGCCGGUACUUUAAAUAGAUAAUGCUUAUUUGCCUAUAAACUAUACUCCUUAAAGUUUAUUAAUUGUUAAUUGAUUUGUAGUAUUUUGUCAUUCAUUGGACAUGUAGUACAAAGGACAAAUUUGGUACAAAAUUUUAAUUUCACUCCUUAAAACAAUAUUUUAAUCGUUUGGACUGAAUUUGCAAAUGAUUAGUAACCUCAGGGGAGGUCAGUGUAAUUUUUCAAACUACAGGGGAGGUCAGUGCAAAUGUCAGAAACCUCAAGGGAGGUUUCUGCAAUUAUCCCUAGUUUGUGUGAAGAGUGAGAGUCAGAGUAUUAUUCGCGCCUUGAGGUGUUGUGUUUCACGUUUCUAUGUUACACGAAUUUUAUGACUCAUCAGAGAGACAUUCUAUCCUGUUCGGAAAAAAAACAAAAAAAAAGAGAGACAUUCUAAAAUUUGGAUUUUUAUUCAUUAUUGCAUCGGAGUCAGAACCUUGUGAUAAGGGGUGCAAUGGUCAACUUCAGUAUAAAUCAUACUCUUAGAUUUAUAUAAUAAAUAUACGAGUAAAUCUUAUAUACACUGACAGUGUAUACACUAUCACCAUUGGAUUUAUGAUAUAUGUGUAAAAGUUGAAUUUUAAAUUCAAAACUUAUAUAUUUGUCAUUUAUUCAUCGUUGAUAAUGUAUACACUGUCAGUAUAGAAAAGAUUAAUCCUAAAUAUACAGUAUGCUUUUGAUUUAAAAAGUGAAAUCUUUUUUUCCCAUUAAUGUUUAAUUUGAAAUAAAUCCUAAAUUUUUUUUAGAGGUAAUCAAUAGAAAGUAUUUUUUGGAGUCAAUGUAGAAUAAGUGAGGAAUAUAUAAAGCUUCAAAAGAUAACCUAUAUAAAGAAGGGAAUUUUCUUAAAUUUGACGGGAGCAAUACAACUGAAAGAGAGAAUUUUAUAAAAUUCAAGGGUGCAACACAUGGUAUAAACUUAAUAAUCUUGAAAAAUUUGAAGGCCAUUGUACAAUUUUAUCAAAAUUGAGGGGGCCGGGGAGGGAGGGAGGGCAAUUGUCCACUCCACAAUCCUAUGUGGCUCUGCCACUGGAAUACUUAUCAAUCGAAUAGAUAGUAUGAUAGACCGCCAGCCUUUGGCCAGUGGCCACCACCUAGCUUGGUGGGGUGGGAGGCAAGGCAAAAUGCCACAUUUAAGUGGUUUGCUUCAAAAAAUUCAGACGGGUGUGUUGUGCACCCGUUUGAUUCGGUGGUGGUUCAGUCCCCUUCGGGUUAUUCUUGGGCCUCCUUAGGUCCGCCCCCUCCCCCUUAGUGUAGAAUAGAUUAGGUUAUACAACAGUUGUCGUUUCCGAAAAAAAAAAAAAAAAUAGAUAGUAUGAUAAGAUUUUAACAGCAAAAAUUGUUAAAAAAAAGGGAUUCUUUGCCGUACUAUUCGACCCAUAAUCCGAGGGGGUAAGGUGGGAUCAACUCCAUGGCACAGAGAGGCAAAGUGCCAUUCAUCGCCUAAUAGAUAAAUCCUUCUCUCAGUUAAAAGCCACAUUGGUUUGCAUCUAUCAAUUUGAAAAAAAAAAAACUAAUUUAAGAGGCAAUAUUUUAAGUUAUUUAAGGAAUAAAAAUGUUGAAAAAGCAUAUUAAUAGAAAACUUGUCAAAAUGGAAACUUACAUGAACUCAACUUUGGUCUACAAUAUUUUUUUUUGUUUUUACAAUUCUUUUCUUAAUAUUCUUUUUAACUUUAGUGCUGUCAAUUUACUUCAUGGCCCAAAGGCAAAAAAAAAAACAAAGACUAGUGAUUGACACACGAACAAUCUUUAAUGCAAAUUUCAAACUCAUUAAGAAAUGAGAGUGUGAAAUUAUCAGAUUGGAUUUCAGUGAAAUGGGGAUUUUAAACAUUCAACGCGAAGCAUCUAAGCUGGAUCGCGGGCUGGAUGACAUUGAAAUUGUGGUGAAGAUAAGUUUUCAAAGUCUCUUUCAUUUCAGCAUACUUUAUGAAUAAACUUUUUUCUUGAGCACUUUAUGAAAAGAAUAUUUUACUCAGUUUACUCACUAACUAAUGAUUACACAAGCACUCAACUUCCGCACAUUUGCACGGGCUUAAUCUUGUAUUAUUAUUAUUUUUUUUAUAAUAAUAAUAAUAAUAUUAUUAUUUACUUCUUCCCGAAUGUGCUAAUGAGCUGGUUUAAACCUAAAUGGUAAGGUGAAAUCUGAGGUGAUAGAUUUAAAAAUUUUCAAAUUUGGCAAUCAAAUUUGAAAAACGAAAAAAAAGAUCUAACACAAGAAAUAGAAAACUACAAAAAGUCUCACUAGAAAUCCCGCAAAAUCACCAUCGUCAUCUUUACAGCAGCCAUCGUCAACCAUUCGAUCUUCAAAUUUACUGUCUUUGGAACAAAUUUUUUUCAUUAGAUUUCAUCAUAGAGCCCAAUCUUGCAGUUCACUGUGCCAGCACUGAAGUAAGCCCUCUUUUCCAAAUUUUUUUUUUGUAACUUGAAAUUUGUGUGAAUUAAUAUGCGCAUCCUAUGGAUGUUUGGAUCUUUCAUUUUAUUAGUCUCCUUGAAUUUGUUGUCCCUUUGGUCAUUCGUAUGCAAUUUUUUAAUCACAUAUUCUGUUUACCUGAGGAAGUCUGAAUUGUGAUGAAUUUUGUAUUGAUUCAACAUCAAAUUUGAUUAAAGGAAAAAGGAAACUGGCCUACGAUCAUAGCAUGUAAGCAUGAUGGAAAAAUGCCUAAACAAAAUACAUUGUUGUUCACUGUUUUGUUUUCUUUGGUGUAAUUGGAUAUUGAAAGGGUUGAAGAAAGGGGAAGGAAAAUUUAGGAUUGAAUUGGGGUGUUUGCACUUGCAAUUGAUCUGUAGGUGCUUUUGUUUUCUUACAGUUGAUCAUGACGGAUUAAUUUUUUUUUUGGUAUUAACCACAGGUGUCCGCAUCCGUUUUACGGUCUACGACUAAUUCUGUUCUAGUCACGUUGGACCCUUUGUAGGGGGAAUCUCUCCCAACGUUGUUUUUUCCAUCCUCAUAGAUUUCGAACCCGAGACCUCAUGGUUAAGGGAUGCAAGCCCCUUCCACUUACACCAACAUUCGUUGGUGACGGAUUAUUACUGACGAGUUCCAUGGGAAUUAUCUUCAGUUACAAAUAGAAAUAAACGGGAAGUGCUUCAUAGGAUGGUAUCUUGAGACAGUGAUUGGGAAAUCAGUAACCAUCGCAAGUGGAUUGUCAAAAUUAAAGAUGUAAAAGACAUAUACGACUGCAGCUGGAUUGUGAUGGCUAAUCUUAUCCUAUGUAGUGAAACUUCUUGAUCUCGCGAAACAUGUACAAUCAUAUGUACAACCAGUUAAUUUAUUUGGGUCCUUGCAAGUAAAUUUUCACUUCAGAUUUAUUGUAGUGAUUGUAACAUAUAUUUUGUGGCUUUGGAACAGAUUUAACUUACCCAAAAAAAAAAAAAAAUUAAAUCUCCACUGCAAAGCCUUAGAGUAAUUUUGAAGUUCAGUCUAUUGAACACUGCCUAUCCUUUGCUUUCCUAUUGUACUCCUUUUGAGUGAUUUAUUUAGAGCUUCUAUUUGGAAAUGUUCAAACCUGACAAUAAGCUCUCAGUGUUAUUUCCAUGAAAACUGCAAAGAGAAGUUGAUCAUGCAAAAAACUACUGUAGCUGACAAGAUUGGCGUUAUUUGGAUUGUCGGUUUUCACUUAAAAAUUUUGAAAUAUUUUUUCAAUAUAUUUUUCAAUCACUUUUUUAUCUCACAUAUAUCAUAUUAUUAUAAUAUAUAUAUUUUUUAACGAAACUCUAUAAACUUACAAUUCAAACUGUAACUUUUCAUUGUAGUGCGUCCUUCAAAGUGACUUUCGUUUUAGUCCGUCCAUUUUAAGUGAUUUUAGUGCGUCCACCUCAAUUCAUGCACAGGAAGGACUGGUCCCAGAAUUCUGUAGCAGGACAAUGAUUUAGGGUGGCCUGGAAAAUUCUAUGGAAACAAGGCAAGAAUGUCACCUUUGGGGUGUCCAAUAAUAAUGUUAGUGUCAAUCAACCUCACUAUUAAAAGAAGAAAAGAUUGUUGAUAAAUCCAUACAUCAAAUCCGUAUUCAAUAUCUUUACUCGAAAGUUGUGCUCCCAAGAAAGUACGAGUAAACUCUUAUUCAUCAAUUUGCAUAAACAAUAGGGUUAAUCACAUUUUAUCCCCUUAAAGAAUGCCCAAAUUUUCAAUUUACCCCCUAACCUUUAAUUUUGCUCACUUAACUCCCUUUAGGACAAAAUUGCCCUUGUAUUAUUUUGACUUUUCAUUUACCUUAUUUUCCUUUCUUUUAUUUCUUUCUCUCUUUCUUCUUUAUUUAAUUCUUCUUCUUUCCCACAAAAAUCUUCACCUUAAUGAUUGAAAUUAAAAAAGAGGAAUUGCAGAUAUCUAUCUUCUCCUUAAAUGAUUAAAAAAAUAUUCAAAUCACUUUCCUAAAAUAUAAUUUUUUUAGCCUUUCAAUUCUUUUACUUUUGGGUUUUCCUCUUUCCUUUCUAGUUUCUCAUUUUAUUCCCAAGAAAAUAUCUUAAGAUGAAAUUGUGAUCUGAUUAAUAAACAUGAAUGAAGGGAGAAGGUUGAUUGAGGCCCUAUUCAUCCUCAAAUUUGAUUACAUAUUCCAAUCUAUUGCCACAAAAAAAAAAAAAUCAUGCUCAGCAAAAAUUAUUUUAAAAUAUAGGAAUAUAUGUGAAAUAUAACUUAAUCGUUUUAUUAACUAAACUCAACAAUAAUGCUUACAAAUAACAAGUUUAGAAGUUUUCUCUCAAUGUCCACAACUUACCUCUCUCUUCAAGAAAACAAUGAAACGGUAUAGAGUAUCCAACCGACUCUAGUCUCAAAGGAAUAGGAAACUAACAAUUGGCAGAAAAAUUUUUAAUUCUGAACCGACUAGGAGUAUCUCUCUCCCAACAUGAUAAAUGUAAAUAACUUGCUGAACUUUAAUAACCGGGACCUUAGGAAAUAUUUCUUUUCCACAUCAACUUCUAAAUUCUUCCACUCACUAAACCAACAAAUAAAAAAACUUGCCACAUAAGUAAUUUAAUUUAAUAAUUAGGCUUGGUUUAAUUAUCUACACAACCAUUUGUCGGAUUUCUUGGGCAAUUACGUAAUCAAUCCAACCUUGCUAACUGUCAGCGUAGAAGGACCUUAGAAAUUAAAUAACAGCUUAUCAUGCACUGCAUAAAAUAGGUUUAUCUGUAGAGCUCGAGCUCGUAAUCAAUUUGUGAGUCACACUGAUCAAUUUGUGGGUCUUAAAGGUUAGAAGUUAAGAGGUUAUUCUGGCGAGAUUUGGAUUUGGGAAUUUUUUUAAUUUGUUUUCUUGCCUCCCAAAGAUCUUAUUCUCCUUCAUUUCUUUGUUUGUUAUUACUUUUUUUUUUAAUGAGUUUUAAGAAGUUAUGGUGAUAGUGGGGGAUGAUGAUAGUGGUGAUGGGAUGAUCAAGAGGUUGGUGUUGAUAGUGUGAGAUUUGGGUAUGGAUUAUGACUUGAUUUCUAUUUCUGUUUGAUGAAUUUUUAGAUAUUAAUUUAUGCUUUUUGAAAGGGAUUUUUGUUUGAGGAAUAUUUGUAGGGUUUAGAAAUUUGACUAUAUUCAGAAGAUGAAAAUAAAGGAAGGGUAUUUUUGGAGGUUUGGUAAAAUUUUGAGGGUUAACAAGUAUAAUCACUCUCUCUUUUUUUAUCAGAUUUAAUUUAAUUUGUAAAUUGUGCAAAAAAUUAGAAGUUGAAGGUAAUGGACUGCUAAAUUUAAAGUUUGGAAUGCAAGUUCCAAUUGCGAAAUUGUUGAGGGGUGCAACUUACAAUUAACCCUAUUUCUAUUUUAUUUUAUAUUAUACAACUUGUUAAAGGGACAACUGUAGUAUUAAGAGAAAUAUUUUAAAGGGAUAAUUUCAUAAACCUCCCCUGAGGUUUUUGAUAAUUUUAUGUGGCUCCCUUAAGGUUUCAAAAUUUACAUCUACCCCCUUACCCAUUUAAAAUGACAAUACUAACCUUAAUAUUUUAAUAAAACUCUCUUGCUUCCAUGUUUAUAAAAAGGAUGGAUUUUAUAAUUUUUAUAAUUUAUGAAAAGAGGUAAAACGGGAUGAACCCCAUGGUUCAGGGGAACAAAGUGCCAUUCAUCCGCUAAUAGAUAAAUCCUUCUCUUUCUUCCUUAAAAGCCAUGUUGAUUCAGUGACAGGGCGUCAACUAAUUAAAAAUAAAUAACUACUCCAGAAAAUACGAACUUGUUUGCAGCAAUGAGUAGGAUUGUCUCCACAAGAUAGAGUUGAUUUAUUUUCUUCCAAAGCAAUGAAUAAAAAGGGGGAUUUUGGAGAAUUAAACUAACUAAUUAACUUAAACACAAAUAAACAUGCAAAGAAAAUUAACUAAGAAUAAACCAAUAAUAAUAGAGUUCUAGCCAAAGGAAUAAUCUUAGGAUUGGUUCCUAUAAUUGAUCACUAAAGCAAAGAUGAAUUCAAAUAUUAGUGAACAAAUAGGUUAUAAUUAUCAUUAAACUUUGGCAAUCAAUCUUUCCUUACUUUAUCGAUAAUCAGAGUAUGGCCACUAACUACUUCUCUAACUAAAAGAUAAUCCUAGGUACAACCAUAGAAUUAAAUCUUUUAUCAGCAUCAAGAAUUAAAAAAGCCUAAUUCGAAUCAACAAACAUGUUGCGAGAGUUCAUUUAAAUUAUAUCAUAUAUUUUCCUGAUAUAGAUCCAAUUAUGCUAGUCAACACAAAUAUUAAAACAGACAAACAAUUACGAAUUUAAUUGUUUCAAUUGGCAGCAGACUAUUGUAAAUAAUUAAAUAUUGGCCACUUAUUUAAUUACACACAAUAAUCAUCAUACAUGUAAUACAGGAAGUAUAAAAAUACCCACGAAUAGAUGAAACAGUAAACUUAAAUUAGAUAUCAUAAUUGUUUGUAGAACCAAGGCUUCGAUUAUCCUCUAACUAGAAAGAAAAUUUAGCCACUUCUUAUGGAGAAAAUGCAGCGGAGAAAACUAGGUUUUUGUCUUGAGAGAAGAAAAAAGAAAACCACCUAACUACGAUGACAAAGUGUAGAGAGAGUUUGGGAAUUAAAUAUCGAUAUUCUCGCCCUAACAAUCUAUAUGAUAAUCUCCUAAAAAUUAUUCCAAUAAAAGGAAUUAUCUUCCAUACUGGAAUAAUCUAUUUUCGUAGAUAAUGAUAUAAUAAUAUCCUUACUAACUAGUUGCCAUCCAAAAAUAAAAAGUUUUCAAGGCUGCAGAGAAAUCAAUCAAUUAUUCUCUUUAAUUGUUGAAAUUAAUCUCAGGUCCCACAACUUCUGAAUUUCCUAGGCUCUUUAAGACGCGCCCAUACUUUAUAGCAAAUAGACUUUUCAGCAACUCUUUUUAGUCCUCUUUCAUCCCAAAUUCUUAUGACAUCACUAAAACACAAAAUAUAAGUAAAAUCCACAAAAUAACACAAUAAUCUACUAAAAUGAAAGGAGAAUCGACACAAACUAUAUCUCGAUUAGGCACACAAUCAUUUAGUGACACAUGAUGAUGUAAGUAAUAUUACAUUAUUAUGAUGAUAUAUGUGGCUCUUGAGUAUGCACCACAUCGUCCAUGAGUGGUUCCGAAAAUCAAGUUUUUAAGAAGGUUUUAAAGCUGGAAAUCUUACUGGGUCAUAGGUUAUUGGUUCAAUCGUUAGAUUAAAUGUUACCAAGUCAUUGUUACUCUGUGACACCAUAUAUAUCAUAAAUAAUUAAUGUGAAAAAUCAUUCAAUACGUCCCUUAUAUUUUAUUAAAUGGUUUUUUUGUUUCUUCACUUUUAAAAUGUUAGUUUUACAUCUAUUACAAAUUCAAGUUAGUAAAAUUUGGUCCCAAUCUAAAUUUUUGACUACUUUUUAGCCUAAGAUCGCCAUGUGACCUAUAUGCAAUUAUUUUUUAUGUAAAAAAAAAUGUCAAAUACCACUUUUGUAGUGAUAAAAAUAAAUAUGGAUCGGGUCAAAUUCCAUUUUUGUUUUAAAAAAUGAAUAUGGAUCGAAUAAUUUAUUUAACUACAAAUGGGAUGUAACAUUGUUUAAUUCUAACAAUUGUUAAGUGGAUAGGAACACGAAUAGUAAUAAAUUUUGGAUUUUGUAAACAAUUUAGAGCUAAAUUAUAAUUUUUUAAAGGUGAAAUGAUAGAAACUUAAAUAUGAGGUAACAUUGAAAUCUAAAAGUAAGUAUGAGGGCUAAAUAGUAAAAUGUCAAAAAGUAUAGUGCGUUAAUCGUUUCCGAUAAUUAUAUGCUAAUGCUGGGCCGCAUUUUUUUUUUUAUUUUAAAGAAAAGCAAGACUCAAAACGGUUUAGUAAAAACAUGUCAACGGUUCGUUGGUCCGGCCAAACGAUCUAGUUGGUUUUUACUAUCUAGACCGAUUUUUUGAUCCAUCUUUAGUUUGAGACUUGACUUAGUUCAGAAAGCUACUCGAUCAACAGUUGAAUCAGCUCACUCGAACAGUCAAAACUGAGUUUUAUACUAUUAGUUUUUAUUUAAAUAUUUUCAAUACCCAUUUAUAAGAUUAUGGCACUUGUAAGUUCUCCAUGAACCGAAAAUAAAAAGAUAUUUGUGUUAUAGUUGAAAUGAUGAGUGAAGAAAUUUACUGAUGCUGUCAAUAAUGUAUCGACGGGAUACUUGAGCAACGAAUAAUACUUUUCUUUGGGUAAACAAUCAACUAUUAUUGAUAAAGCACAUAUUACACAUAUCUGUAAAAGGAUGGGUAGUAUUUGGCACGUCUUCAAUUCGCCACACAGGUAGCUGAACUCAUCUAUAAAAGGGGUCGAUCUGUGGGCAACCAAAUACACACCAAACCAAAAAAUACACACGAAAGCAAGCCUGCAAAAACAACCGAGAGGAGAAAAAAUGGCUCCCUGUUUUAGAGCACUAGUCAUAGCAAUAACAUCGCUGUUGAUGAUAUCUUCAGUGAUCAGGUCUUCCGAUGCUGCUGGAAUUGCCACCUACUGGGGCCAAAACACUGACGAAGGAAGCCUGGAAGACGCAUGCCGGAGAGGUACCUAUGACUACGUGAAUCUUGCCUUUCUGAUAAAUUAUGGCAAUGGCCAGACACCAGAAUUGAACUUAGCUGGGCAUUGUGAGCGAAGCGCUUGCUCCUCGCUUAGUUCUGAGAUAAAAGCUUGCCAGAAACGAGGCAUCCAAGUGCUUCUUUCUCUCGGUGGAGCUCCAAACCUUUCUUCACGCGAUGAUGCUAAGGAAGUCGCGUCCUAUCUCUAUAAUAAUUUCCUUGGCGGUGAAUCACAAAAUCGUCCAUUAGGCGAUGCUGUCUUAGACGGUAUAGACUUUCAUAUCCAAGGUGGAAGUAGGGAUUUCUUGGAUGAUCUCGCCAAGGCGCUCUCAGAAUAUAGAACAACAGAGAGAAGGGUGCACUUAUCUGCAGCACCACAAUGUUUCUAUCCUGACUAUUAUCUUGACGCUGCCAUCAGAACUGGCCUCUUUGAUUAUGUGUGGGUGCAAUUUUACAACAAUCCGCCUUGUCAGUAUAGUAUGGGCAAUGCCAACAACCUCAUCAACAGUUGGAGCUCUCAUUGGGCUUCACAUCCAGGAGUUAACAAACUAUUCCUGGGAUUACCUGCAUCCCCUGAAGCCGCUCCUUCUGGCGGUUACAUUCCACAUCGGAUUCUUAUUCGUGAAGUUCUUCCCCAAAUCCAGGACUAUCCCAACUAUGGAGGCGUCAUGCUUUGGAACGUAUACUAUGACGAGAAUUAUAGUCAGGCAAUCAGGCCUUAUGUUAACCCUGAAACUCUGACUUUUGAUCGCAGGUCCACGAUUAAGUACCCAAGAAAGUCCAUGAUAAAGUCUUUUGUGGAUGAGUAAGUUCCUCUCAUUAUCUUAUGAGAGAUGAAAUAAGUAUAAUAUAAUCCCGGUGGUUUGAGCCAGAGAUAAUGUUAAUAAAUAAGUUCCUCUCAUUAUCCUGUGAGAGAUGAAAUGUAAUCCGGGUUGCUUUUGCAAGAGAUAAAUUGAAUAAAUAAAUAAAACAUGGGUUUUCAAUCCCCAAACUAAGGGCAGUCGCGUUUGAUUUUUUUUAAUUCGUGUUUGUUCUUGAGUAAAAACUAUCACGAACAGUAUCAUUAGUUUUAAUUUCCCCUUACUCUUCAGAAAAAAAAGGGUAUUGAAAAAAAAAAAACAUGCAAAAGGUACUAGAUCAAAAUCUCUCACUCGCUAGACAAAGAAUUUCAAGAUAACAGCCCUUGAUCCAAUCCGCAUUCCAAUGCAAGUUCCUGGUUUUACUUAGUAUGAGGAACCUUGGGCCAUGCGAGAUCAAAUAAAAAAAUAAUAUCAUCAGAUAUUUAUUCUCCAAAAUCAAUAUAUUUAUUCAAGAGCAUUUUACAUUUCAGUACACCUUUACUGUUGAGAAUAUUACUGUUCUGUUAGCUUCUAUGCAAAGUUUGUUUCAUAUGCAAUAACGUACUUAGUAACUAAACUUCCAUCACUUGCAGAUAUUAAUCCAGGAAAAAGAUGAAUAAUUGUUUUCUUUUAUAUGGAUUAAUCUUCUAUACAUUGACAGUGUAUACACUUUCAUCAUUAGAUGCAUGACACAUAAUCCGAAUUUGAAUUUGAAACUCAAAUAUUGUAUAUAUGUCGUAUAUUCAACUGUGAUGGCGUAUAUACCGUCAAUGUAUAUAAGAUUUAUUUUUUAUAUAUAUAUACACAUAUAAGGAAAGCAAUGACGUUCAAAACUUAAGAUCGAUGUACAAUUCAGUUUUGCUUAAAUUCUUAGCUCGAGGCCUGUUCAAAUCUUGUAAAAAGGUACUGGUAAUAAAUGAAAAUCUAAAGUUUGCUCUAAGGUAGGUAAUAUUAUAGCAAUUGGUCCUCUUCUUAAUUUAGUUCUUCCAGUAAAUUUGAUAUAUCGUUUACGAUCAUCCAGCAUUAUGGAUAUUGCUUUCUCUUUGUGAAAAUUUUUAGUUUUGAGCAAAGUCUUUGGUUUUUAGUCAAGUUCUUGCGUUGGACAGCUCUACAUCUUGGAACUGGUGAUUCGUACAAAUAUACAGUAUCUUGGAAAUAUUAGACUUUUUUUUUUAAAAAAAAAAACCUUAUUUUAUUAAUGAAGCAAAAAGGAAUACAUGAAUGCGUGUUCAGGCUGCACCACUCGACCUACAGCUAGGCCUAGAGCUGUUAAACGAACCGAGUUGUUCGGUAGCUCGGUUCGUUUCGACUCGUUCGAAACCUUAAAUGAACCGAGUUCGAACGAAUGUUUUUGUUCGAUUAAUAAUCGAGCGAACACGAGCAUGUUCGCGAGUUUUAACGAACGUUCGCGAACAUGCUAAACGAACGUUCGCGAACACGAGCAUGUUCGCGAGUUUUAACGAACGUUCGCGAACAUGGACAUAAUUAUCAUUUGAUAAAUUUUAGGGUUAAUUUUAUGGCUGGACUUUUAUGUUUGGAGGGCAAAUUACUUUGUUUUAUUUGUUAUUUUUAUGUUAAUGUUAGUUAUAUAGUUAAUGAAUAAUAGAAUUUAGUCACUUAGUGCUUUAAUUGUUUUUGAGAAUAGUUAAUAAUUUGCAUGACAUAUUUAAGGCUUAAAAUAAUUUGGAUUCGAGCAUUUCGAGUAUGUUCGCGAACGGCUCAUUUAUGUUAAAUGAGUCGAACACGAACUCGAAUUCGAACACGAAUUUUGCUUAACGAGCCGAACACGAACACAUGUUUGAAGUUCGAAAAUUAACGAACGAACACGAACGUUGUUCGAACUGCUUAACGAACAGAGCUCAAACAUGAGAUACUCGGUUCGAUUCGGUUCGUUUACAGCUCUAGCUAGGCCCCAAGGACCUCUUAGAAAAUCGAAAACUCCCAAUCCCCAGUCUAUCGACCUGACAUAGGCCCCUCACCGACCUUGGCAAGGACGUGAAGGAGAGCAAGAGACAAAAGUUGCUGGAGCGGCUACCCAGCGAUGCCAACGAAUCCGCCACAGCAUUACCUUCUCGAUGGAUAUGUUGAAAGGACGAUAUAGCUGGCGAGAGUUGCCGAAGAUGACGGAGGAUUGGCAAUAGCGAAACCGGAACGCCCCAUACCCCUGUAGAACGUCGAUCAGGAUCUUUGAGUCGCCCUCCACCACGACUGGGCCAUGGCGGAAUAGGUUACACAAUUCAAGCCCCGUGCACAGUGUGAGGCCCCGAAAAAAAUGAGUUUGAGAACCCGGAAAUUUUAAUUUUCUAGGGUUUAUUUUGUUUAAAACAAAACCCGCAUUUUCUACAUUUUCUUGAUUAGAAAAAAUCCCAGAUAAAGUUUAUGAGCAAAAAUAGUUUUAAAAUGAUUUUUCUAGUAUCGGUUAGUUUUUGAGAAAUUAAAAGCGUAUUUUGGACGUGGGACCCACUAGUGCGAAAAGUUCGGAAAAUUCGGCCAAUUAGGUUAAAUUCCGGAUACUGUGUAAAAUUUAUCGGGUGUUAAGAGAUAAGUAGAGUGUGUGAAAUGAUUGAUGAGAGAGAGAAAAGAAAGGAUAGGAAUGCAUUUAUUGUAGUGCCACAUGUCACCAUGAUAUUGGUUAGGACUUAAGACUACUAUUCAUGGUUUUGACCUUUUGACUUAUGGAUUAAAUAUCUUCAAAAUUCACAAAAAAAUUACCAUUUUUCACCCCUUGAUGGCCGGCCCUCUCUAGCAAGAAGAAAGACAAAACUCUUCAACAUCUUGGCAAAUUCCUAGCUCAAAUCAUCCAAACUACUUACCUAAAUUAGUUUUUACUCCAUAAAAUCCUUCCACUUGGUAUUAGUGAGUGUUUUGGUGAAGCUUUUGGAGAACUUAAGGUGUCCAACAUCUUCCUCUCUCUUGUUUACUUGGUAAGUAGUGAUUGACUAUCCUCUUACACCUAAUGAUGUUGAAUUUAUGCCUAAUGGUGGCUAUUGUGUUAGAAAUUGUGGUUUAUUUCUUGGUUUGAAGUGAUUUGGUUAAGUUUUUAUUUUUUUGAGGAAUUUUCUGGUUUUAUGUGAUCUUGAUGGUGUGGUUGUUUUUGAUGGUUGGUAAUAAGGGGCUAUGGAUCUAGUAGGUGCAUAUGAUAGGAAAUUGCAACUAAUUUUGGGUUUGGAUUGAAUUGUGGAAAGUUAGGGUUUUAUCACCCCUAAUUCUGUCCGGUUUUAGAUCAUAGGGUUAGAGGCCGAAUUGGACUUUGCUCAAAACAUGAAACUUGUAGGUAUUGAUGAGUUUGAAGUGCCUGCAAAAUUUCAGGGCAUUUGGAGUAGUGUAGAGUGAGUUAUGCCGUUUUUACUGUUGCUGUUCUGGGUGAUCAGAAUGUGCGAACUGUGAUUGUAAUCGUCUGUUUUGACUGGAAUUGCUUUGGAUUUGGAUGUUGGUGUCUUCUGAUGAAAUGUAGCUUGAUGCCUUAGCUAUCAUAUGCCUUUGGAAUCAAUGCAUUUGGACCUGUGUAACUGAGUUGGACGAAUUACAGCAUUGUGUGAUUUGGGAACCUGCAAUUACGAUUCUGGUUUGGUAUUCUGCAUUUUUGACCUAGUUGUGCUAGGAUUUGGACUGAGUGACCUUCUACAUUGUUGUAGCCCUGGUUCUUAGCUUCGAAACGGUGGGUCUUGGACCUCCAUCCGAUACUCGUAAUACCUUUGGUGCCAUUACCGCAAAAGGACGUCAAAACUGUUUUCUGGUUUUGAGCAAUUGUGGUUAAUUGCUUUGUGAUUGGGUUUGAUUGUAGGAUGGAAAGGAUGAAUUUAUGGGGAAAUGCUGUCCGAUUUUUAAUAGCGUUGGUUACCUUAAGUUUCAUGUGAAAGGCUUGGACUUGAAUGAUGGAAUUGGCUAUAUUGGACGAGGAUUGUGAGCCGUGGAGGUGAGUGACCUUAAACUACUUGCAACGUUACUUUAAAAUGUUUCUUGCAUCGUUUCUUUGAUUGCAUAUCCUGUGUGCCGGCAUAUAAGUUCUUGACAUGUUUUGGCUCAAAUGAGUACUUGGAAUUCGUGUGCUAGACUCCGACGUCUCCUCCACCGUUUAAUGUUCCUGUAGGGCACCAAUGGGCUCAAUGUUCAAUGUUAAUGUUCAAUGUUAAAUGAUUGUUUGGAGCGUUGGACGUCUAAGUACCAUGAUUUCACUGGCUCAUGAGAGAAGUGAAAGUGCAUUGAUUGUUGAAGCAUGACAUUAUUGAAAUGAACGAUUGUGAAACUGAUUUGAUAACUGAAUUUCUUGGUUACUCGCUGAGCUUCUAGCUCACCCCAAAAUGUUUUAUUCCCCUCCACAGGGCUCAAGGCGAAGGAGUGGCUUGUAGUGUUUAUCAUGGAUUAUCUCAUGUAUGGACUGAAUUUGGAUUUCCUUUUGUGUAAUCGUUCAUAUUGGGAUUGUAUUGAACGUUUAGAAUUGCUUGGAUGUGUAAUAUGCUAGUUUUGGACUUCCUCCUGUAUCAUAAUUGGGAUCAUGGAUCAGAGUGGCGCAGUGGAAGCGUGGACGCUUCGCUUUUGAUAUGUAAAGUUUGGGAACCUUUGAUGUAUAUUUGAUAUAUAUAUCUUGAAAUUCCAUUGAGAAUUGUAGUGAACGACUGAGUCCUGGCGAGAGCUGGGCAGGCGGCCCGCCGAACCCUCUGGUUCGCCUUAGGGGGAGGUGGGGCCGUUACAGUUGGUAUCACAGCUUAGGCUUCAGAUCUCUAUAGUGUAUCCUAGGCUUGAAGUUUAGGAUGCCGGACUGUGGGUUUGGUUUGAAGUAUUAGUGAUUCUUGCGGGAUGUCUUGACUUGAUUAGUACAAGAGGGAAUGACGAGGACGACAUUCUUUUAAGGAGGGGAGAUUGUGACGCCCCGAAAAAAAAUGAGUUUGAGAACCCGGAAAUUUUCUAAUUUUCUAGGGUUUAUUUUGUUUAAAACAAAACCCGCCUUUUCUACAUUUUCUUGAUUAGAAAAAAUCCCAGAUAAAGUUUAUGAGCAAAAAUAGUUUUAAAAUAAUUUUUCUAGUAUCGGUUAGUUUUUGAGAAAUUAAAAGCGUAUUUUGGACGUGGGACCCACUAGUGCGAAAAGUUCAGAAAAUUCGGCCAAUUAGGUUAAAUUCCGGAUACUAUGUAAAAUUUAUCGGGUGUUAAGAGAUAAGUAGAGUGUGUGAAAUGAUUGAUGAGAGAGAGAAAAGAAAGGAUAGGAAUGCAUUUAUUGUAGUGCCACAUGUCACCAUGAUAUUGGUUAGGACUUAAGACUACUAUUCAUGGUUUUGACCUUUUGACUUAUGGAUUAAAUGUCUUCAAAAUUCACAAAAAAUUACCAUUUUUCACCCCUUGAUGGCCGGCCCUCUCUAGCAAGAAGAAAGACAAAACUCUUCAACAUCUUGGCAAAUUCCUAGCUCAAAUCAUCCAAACUACUUACCUAAAUUAGUUUUUACUCCAUAAAAUCCUUCCACUUGGUGUUAGUGAGUGUUUUGGUGAAGCUUUUGGAGAACUUAAGGUGUCCAACAUCUUCCUCUCUCUUGUUUACUUGGUAAGUAGUGAUUGACUAUCCUCUUACACCUAAUGAUGUUGAAUUUAUGCCUAAUGGUGGCUAUUGUGUUAGAAAUUGUGGUUUAUUUCUUGGUUUGAAGUGAUUUGGUUAAGUUUUUAUUUUUUUGAGGAAUUUUCUGGUUUUAUGUGAUCUUGAUGGUGUGGUUGUUUUUGAUGGUUGGUAAUAAGGGGCUAUGGAUCUAGUAGGUGCAUAUGAUAGGAAAUUGCAACUAAUUUUGGGUUUGGAUUGAAUUGUGGAAAGUUAGGGUUUUAUCACCCCUAAUUCUGUCCGGUUUUAGAUCAUAGGGUUAGAGGCCGAAUUGGACUUUGUUCAAAACAUGAAACUUGUAGGUAUUGAUGAGUUUGAAGUGCCUGCAAAAUUUCAGGGCAUUUGGAGUAGUGUAGAGUGAGUUAUGCCGUUUUUACUGUUGCUGUUCUGGGUGAUCAGAAUGUGCGAACUGUGAUUGUAAUCGUCUGUUUUGACUGGAAUUGCUUUGGAUUUGGAUGUUGGUGUCUUCUGAUGAAAUGUAGCUUGAUGCCUUAGCUAUCAUAUGCCUUUGGAAUCAAUGCAUUUGGACCUGUGUAGACUGAGUUGGACGAAUUACAGCAUUGUGUGAUUUGGGAACCUGCAAUUACGAUUCUGGUUUGGUAUUCUGCAUUUUUGACCUAGUUGUGCUAGGAUUUGGACUGAGUGACCUUCUACAUUGUUGUAGCCCUGGUUCUUAGCUUCGAAACGGUGGGUCUUGGACCUCCAUCCGAUACUCGUAAUACCUUUGGUGCCAUUACCGCAAAAGGACGUCAAAACUGUUUUCUGGUUUUGAGCAAUUGUGGUUAAUUGCUUUGUGAUUGGGUUUGAUUGUAGGAUGGAAAGGAUGAAUUUAUGGGGAAAUGCUGUCCGAUUUUUAAUAGCGUUGGUUACCUUAAGUUUCAUGUGAAAGGCUUGGACUUGAAUGAUGGAAUUGGCUAUAUUGGACGAGGAUUGUGAGCCGUGGAGGUGAGUGACCUUAAACUACUUGCAACGUUACUUUAAAAUGUUUCUUGCAUCGUUUCUUUGAUUGCAUAUCCUGUGUGCCGGCAUAUAAGUUCUUGACAUGUUUUGGCUCAAAUGAGUACUUGGAAUUCGUGUGCUAGACUCCGACGUCUCCUCCACCGUUUAAUGUUCCUGUAGGGCACCAAUGGGCUCAAUGUUCAAUGUUAAUGUUCAAUGUUAAAUGAUUGUUUGGAGCGUUGGACGUCUAAGUACCAUGAUUUCACUGGCUCAUGAGAGAAGUGAAAGUGCAUUGAUUGUUGAAGCAUGACAUUAUUGAAAUGAACGAUUGUGAAACUGAUUUGAUAACUGAAUUUCUUGGUUACUCGCUGAGCUUCUAGCUCACCCCAAAAUGUUUUAUUCCCCUCCACAGGGCUCAAGGCGAAGGAGUGGCUUGUAGUGUUUAUCAUGGAUUAUCUCAUGUAUGGACUGAAUUUGGAUUUCCUUUUGUGUAAUCGUUCAUAUUGGGAUUGUAUUGAACGUUUAGAAUUGCUUGGAUGUGUAAUAGGCUAGUUUUGGACUUCCUCCUGUAUCAUAAUUGGGAUCAUGGAUCAGAGUGGCGCAGUGGAAGCGUGGACGCUUCGCUUUUGAUAUGUAAAGUUUGGGAACCUUUGAUGUAUAUUUGAUAUAUAUAUCUUGAAAUUCCAUUGAGGAUUGUAGUGAACGACUGAGUCCUGGCGAGAGCUGGGCAGGCGGCCCGCCGAACCCUCUGGUUCGCCUUAGGGGGAGGUGGGGCCGUUACACACAGUGCCCUAGCCUCAGCUUGCAAUGACGUCACAUUUCUAUACAGCUCCGAAUAUGCAAAAAUCACCCGACCCUUAGAAUCCCUCGGUACUCCCCCUCCUCCGCCUGUGAAUGGGUGAUGACAGACCCAUCAAAAUUGAGCUUCACCACCGCUGCCGUUGGGUGGACCCACCGCACAUACCGCACAUACCGCACCUGGACAGGGAGACGGACUUCACCAAGGCGUCGGAUCACCGCCUGCCAGCUACACCCCCGCACCUGACAUCGAAGGAAUGGAAACUGAGAUCCAAGUAAGUCCCUAAAGUCACCCAAUAUUCUAUUCGAGAUGAUCUCCGCUGAAAGGACCUGUCCAUCGUAAACAAACCCACAUCGCGCCUUCCACAAAUGCCAUAAAAUAAUUGCUGGCCCAACGUGCAAUACCCAUCGCAAGAUCCAAUGAUGCGACUGUGCAAACCACCAGGACAUACACCGAUCACGGAUCGAUCUGCCGAGAGAAGAGACUCCAAAUGGCGAUCCAAAGAAACCCCAGAUUGCCGUGGGAAUGUCCCCCAUGGAAAAAAUAUGUUGCAUGGUCUCAAGUUGCGGCUCGCUACAACAGAAUUAUAUCUUGGAAAUAUUAGACAUAAAGAGCAGGAUCUUUAGCAUGAUUUGUAAACUAUAAUUAAGAGAUAAAUUCUAAAUUGGCAUACCUUGUGACAUUGAAGACAUUUUGGAGAAGAAUUCUACAGCUCUGUAUCACCAAGCCUUUCAAUCUCCAAGGUUGUAAUGAUACGAACUCGACCCAACAAGAACCUGUCUUGAAGAACCAAAUUGAUCAGGCAGCGGAAGGAUCUAUCUUGAUUAGGUUAUGGAACAAUAACUACCUUGCUAGAUUUAAAGAGAACUCGUCUCUAGAAACCUAGUGGAUUAGUUAUUGACUUGAAAAAAACAAGAUGAUGUGAUCAUCUUGUCUUGAACACCACAAGUAUCCAAGCUAAUACUUGAUACAGUUCAAGAAGAAACUCAAGUUCCAUCAAGGAACUCCAUAAAAGGAGACAACUCUCUUUUUAUUAAUUCAUCUUCAACAUCAUAUUUUUUGAAUAGUUAAAUUAAGUUGGCUAUUUAUAACCUUACAAGACUCAAAACCCUAAUCUAAAUUGAAAACAAUACAAGUUUCCUUAUUUGACUUGACUUCUAAACUUGACACAACUUCCUAAAUAAAUUUGGAAGCAAUUUAACUACUUUCCUAAAACUCUAAUUCAACUAGAAUAGGAAACUAGCUAACUCAAAUUGGCUUAACUAUGGUCAACAUGACCUUAGCCUUUAUUCCCUAAUUCAAACAACUUACUUAACUCUCAAAUUAACUCUAAUUAACAACUAACAUUGCUGAAAACUCAAUUAAAUAAAUGAUAACAAGAAAUAAGCAUGACACGGGGUUGGAUCUUCAAUGAUUCUCGAGCCCGAUUGCACCAUCAACCAUCAAAUGAAUUUUCCUUGAAUUUGAAGGGAAUCCGAAUCUUCAUGUUCUCAUCAUGUAAACUAUCGCUUUAUGCUAUCCAGCCUUCCCUCACCUAACUCCCUUUUUUGUUAUUUUAGUGAUGGGUAAAAAUAACGUAUGUCAGAGUGGUGAGAAGGACCAAGAGCCCUAGAACAUUUAUAGAGUCACAAUCCCUCCCAUCAUGGGAUAAUGAUAAACUCUAAUUUUCUUAUCGUACUUUAUUUGUUAACCAUAAUGAUAAGAUACAGUUUAAAAUUACUGUAAUUAUCAGAUAAAGUACCACAAUAAAUAUCAUAUAAUAUGUUCACAUACAAUGAAUAUGGGACUCCCUACUUCCUCCAAUCAUCUAUUCUCAUUAGAGCUCUGUAAUUGGUUAUUCAUAUUUAUUCAUAUGGUUAUUCAUCCUUCUAAUUAACGGGAGUUAUCUUAAUAAUAUUAUACGUGGUCAUGUAGGCCACAUAAAUAUUCUAAUAGGAAAAUCUUCUUAAUUUGUAUAGUAUCUUGCACAAUCCAACUUGGAAAGUCGUACUACUAAUUUGGGAAGCAAAAGAAACGGAGGAUCGCGCCUAAUCUUUGGCCAUUUUGUUCAAUAUUUCUCCCAUUUUACAUUAACCCCUAGUUUGGUAUGUGAAAAUGUCCAGAAUAAAAAAAAUCUUUCCACUUGGAAUACCUUUUCACCAUGAUGGUAGGGAGAAAAAUUUAUCAUUUUACUGUCUAGUAUAUAAGGCAAAAUAGAAUGUUCAUUCAUUUUUAAGUGUUUGAAAUAAUCAAUAUUAAAAUACCAAAAUACAUUACAGUCGAUACAAAUUUGAUUUAAUUACCCUAAAUUAGUUUACGGGACACAACAUGCUUUAUUACUUUUGUCUUGUUGGUUCUAUUGUGUUAUUUGUUUGUUUACAUGGAAUUUUGACAUUUUUUGUAUUCGAAAUAAUUGAUAAUUGAUAUUAAAAUAGUUCAAUUGUAAUAAUUGAUUCAUUCUAGAAUAUAGACCUUUACAUUCAACUGUUGCAUCUUCUGGCCAUAUAAUUAAUAUAAAUUAUAUGAAUCUAAACAAAUAUAAUAUAAUUUCGAUUCUUAUUAAAAUUUGACACUCCUAAGAAGUUGUAUGAAUUAUCAAAAAAUUGAACAAAGUACUUAUAUUGCUUGUACGCAAAAUAUUUAAGAUUGACGAACAAAACGAUGGCCUGCUGCCUACAUUCUUUCACUUUCUCACUCUCUAUCUCUUCCUCUAGAGAGAGAAAGAGAAAAAAAUGGUGGUACAGAACGGACUCUCUCAAUUUUUUCUUUUGCCUCCCUGAUUUUCUUUUUCCAAGGUUUCUUGCCCUUACUUUCUUCUACCCAACUAAUUGCCCAAUUCUUGUUGGGGCUGAACCUAUCUAUCUAUGUGUGAUUCAAGAAAGAAAUAAAACUAAAACUGCUGCUGCGCGCCUUAAUUGGUCCUCCGUCGUCUUUGCCACUGAACGGAUUCCUUCAUUUUUUUUUUAGGUGUGGCUAGAUAUUGAAAGGGUUGAAGAAAAUUUAAGAUUGAAUUUGAGUCUUUGCACUUGCAAUUAAUUUGUAGGUGUUCUUGGUUUCUUACAGUUGAUGACGGAUUAUUACUGACGAGUUCCAUGGGAACUAUCUUCAGUUACAAAUAGAAAUAAACUGGAAAUUAUUUCAUAGAAUGGUACCUAAGAUAAUGAUUGUGAAAUCAGUAUUCAUCGCAAGCAGAUUGUCAUAAUUAAAGAUGUAAAGAUAUAUAAGACUGUAGCCAGUUUGUGAUCGCUAUAAAAAUAGAAAAUAAUAUAAUAUAUCAUUUGUCCAAACAUAAUAAUUCCAACUUCACACAAGUUAAACGAAUUCAUUUAGGAUUAAGUCGUUAAUGCCUUUGAGAAAAAAAGAAUAACUUAGUUUAGUUAGAUAAAAUAUUUUUAUAUUUAUUAAAUUAUUUUUAAUUCAUAAACGGUGAUCAAGUCAACCCGUUGGUGACUUGAAUUCGACCUUUUUUUUUUCAGGUUCAUCGGGUUCGACCCAAUUCUAACUCAAACCCAUUAAUUUCAACCCAAACCCAUUAAUUUCAUGUUAGAUUCAUAUUAUAUUUUCAGGUCGUAUCGAAAAUUGCCUCCUCUAGAUUUAACUUACCAAAAAAGAAAAAGUAAAUUUCAGCUGCAAAGCUUUGAGUAAUUUUGAAGUGGGAAAAUCAUUUGAAAAGCUCUUCACAUUUCACUAAAUGAAUUUUUUUUUUGUCUUUCACUUUUAAAAUAAUAAAUUUACGUUUCUUAAAAAAUCAAAUCUGUAAAAUUAAGUUCAACCUAGGUUUUCGACUACUUUUUACACUGAAUUUAUCAUGUAACCCAAAUAUGAUCAUUUUUUCGGAACAGAAAGGUUAAAUCUCAUUUGUAGUCGAACAAAUGGCUUGAUCCAAAAGAGUAAGAUCUGACCUAAAUCAUAUUUAUUUUUUCCUGAAAAGUGGGAUCUGAUUUAAUUCAUAUUCAUUUUUAUCCUAAAAAAAUGAAAUUUGACUUUUUUAUACAUAAAAAAUGAUUGCAUGUGAACCACAUGGUGAUUUCAAGCUAAUGUUUUUGGUAAAAAACUUAGAUUCGAACAAAAUUUUGUUAACUUGAAUUUGUAAGGGACAUAAAGCUAAUAUUUUAAAAAUGAAGAACCAAAAAAUUUAUUUAACAAAAUAUAGGAGACGUUUUGAAAGAUUUUCACUUUUGAAGUUCAGUCUUUUGAAUACUGCCUAUCCUUUGAUUUCCUAUUGUACUGCUUUUCAGUGAUUUAUUGAGAGCUCCUAUUUGGAAAUGGUCAAACCUAACAACGGAUCUCAGCGUUAUUUGAAACCAUGAAAACUGCAAAGACAAGUUGGUCAUUAAAAAAUCUACUACAGCCAACGACAUUAGCCUUAUUUGAAUUGCAAGUUUUCACAAACAAAUUUUGAAAUAUUUUUUAGUCACAUAUUUAUCUUAUAGAUGUUAUAUUAAUUAUUAUAAUAUAUUUUUCUAUGAAACUCUAUGAAAUUAUAUACGUUCUAUUAUCUUAUAUACGUCAUGUCACUAUAUAGUAUAUUUUUCUAAGAAACUCUGUAAACUUACAAUUCAAACUGUAACUUUUCAUUUUAGUGCGUCCUUUCUAAGUGAUUUUAGUGCGUCCACUUCAAUUCAUGCAUGAUAGUCCAGAAUUCUGUAGAAGGACAAUAAUUUAGGAAGGACUGGAAAAUUCAAUGGAAACAAGACAUGUCGCAUUCGGAAGUGCGAUAAUGUAAUCAACCUCACUAUUAAAAGAAGAACAAGAUUGUAUAAAUCCAUACAUCAAAUCCGUAUUCAAUAGCUUUAGUCGAAAUUCGUGCUCCCCAAGAAAGUACAAGUGAACUUCUUAUUCAUCAAAUGUGCAUAAACAAUAUGAUGUGGCCUAGAGAAAAGUUCAAGCUAAGAUGCUCAAGUAUAAGAUAAAAUUGAGUGAAGGGAGAAGGUUGAUUUAGACCUAUUCAUCAUCAAUUUUGAUUUACAUAUUCCAAUCUGUUGCCACAAAAAAAAAUCAAGCACAGGGAAAAUUAUUUUAAUAUAUAUAAAAAUAUGUGAAAAGAGGAAGAGAAUAAAUACACAAUAUAACUUAAAUAAUUUUAUAAACUAAACUCAACAUUAAUACUCACAAAUAACAAUUUGAGAAGCUUUCUCUCAAUGUCCUUCAAGAAAACAAUGAGAUGGUACUACUCAAUUUAUAGAGUAUCCAACGGACUAUAGUUACAAAGGAAUACGACAAUGGGCAAAUAUAUAUAUAUAUAUAUAUAUAUAUAUAUAUAUAUAUAUAUUGCAAUUCUGAACAGGCGAGGAGUAUCCCUCUCCCAAAAUGAUAAAUGUAACUUGCUAAACUUGAAUGACCAGACAUUAGGAAAUAUUUCUUUGCCGCAUCAACUUCUAAAUUCUUCAACUCACUAGACUAACCAAAAAAAAAAAAGAGUUGCCACAUAACUAAUUUAAUUUAAUAAUUAGUCUUGGUUUAAUUACCUGCUGGACUUGGAUUUUAUCUCGGGAUAAAACUCAAAUCCAACAAAAUAACGGUUGGUGGGAUAAAACUCAAAUCUAACAUUGUCUACACAACCAUUAAUCAUCUUUCUUGGGCAAUUACAUAAUCAAUCCAAUCUUGCUAAUUGUCAGCCUUGAAGGACAACGCUUGGAAAUUAAUUAACAGCUUAUCAUAUGCACUACAAAAUACAGAAGUUUAAUCCAUAGGUUUAUUUGUAGACCAUGUAAUCAAUUGGUGAGCCACACUCACCAAUUGAUUCAGUGAUGUAUGUUUAUAUUACUAGCAUUAGAUUAUAAAGAAAAUUGAUGUGGCUAUAGAGUUCAAAAAUAUCUUUCAAACCCGUUUAGAUUAGGUUAGGAUACGCCAAGAACGAGAUAUGGGAGGAUAACAGUUGCAUGUUUUUAAUUGUCGGCUGUCUAUUCUGUAUCGACGUGGAGACUUGGAGCCGCGAGCUUAGAAAUUAGUGACUUUCAUAACUUAGGACAGGUUAGGUAAGUACAAUAAUUGCCCCAUCCAUUAUUACGCACUCAAAGGGACCCAUUUCACAUUAUCCUGCUCGGGAUGUUUGCAUUUAAUUUGCUGGGCAUUUAUCUGAAAGGAAUAUUCUUUUAGAUGCGUUACAUGCCAAACGAUAGCAAUAAUUAGAACUGUACAAUUUGUAUGAAGAGUUGGAGUCAGUCCCAUUCGCUCUUGAGCUGCUGUGUUUCACAUUUCUAUGUUGCACUACUAUUUUAUGACUCGUCGAGAGAGACAUUCUAUUGUGUCCGGAAAAAAAAAAGAAUUGGAUUUUUAUUCAUUAUUGCAUCGGAUAUGUCAUUGGUGGAGUCAGAACCUUGUGAUAAGGGUGCAAUGACCAAUUUCAGUGUAAAUCAUACUUUUAGGCUUAGUUUGGGAGUUUAGGAUAGAAAAGAAAGGAAGGGAAAACUCAAGUUAUGAGAGAAGAGAAGAGAAGAAGGGAUUGUUAUAUUGUUUGGGAGCGUUGAAAAUUAGUGGAAUGAUUUUGGAUAUGAAAAUCAUUAAAUAUCUGUUUAAUACCUUUUUAAGGACAAAUAGGUAUUUUAAAAAAAUUGAUAAGCUUCUGAUGCGACUGCCGAGAGCGCGUUCCGAGCUGAGCUGCGCUAGGCUGAACGAACUAAGGAUGACUGAACUGGUACUAGCGGGGUGAGCGAGCUGACCUGCAAGAAAGACCGGGGCUGGUUCCUCGGUGUAGCUCUGACGGUCAAGUCAGUACGAGUUUAAGAGUAGGGUAACAACGUAGAUAUUGUUGAUGGCGUACCUUGCUUUGUCUUGUGGUGGUGUAUUUAUAAGAUCCCGAGUAGUAGUUUCCCUAUAGGAUUAGAAGUCCGACUAGAAAGGGAGUCUUUCUAGGGUUUCGUCUGCUAAUUUCGAAAGGUUCGGGGGCUGCGACCCACCAGGCCCAUCCAAUUGGGAGGCGGCGCCCAUGCGCGAACUGUCCUCCCUCCUGCCCGAGCUGUUUGGCCGAACUGCCAGGUCACAAUGUCCGAACUGACACGUGGCUCCUGCGGAUUGGCCCCACUACACUAGCCCCCCUUUGAGUCUAUAGUCAUCGAAAGAUCGCAUGAAUCAGGACCGAAUUUCGAGGUGACGGGUCAGUUCGGUGUGGGACCCAUAAUCCCACGAUUGCUGCCUUUGCUCGAGUAACCGUCACUUCAAGCGUUACGUCCCUUCAUAAUGACGGUUACCAGCCCAAUCGUCGCGCAAUACAGCGGUCUUUCGAUAAAUAAAUUUUAAUUUUAAUUUGGGACGCUUGACAGGUGCUGAACCUGUGCAAUAAUAAUAAUAAAUAAACCUAACUACCACCAACGCAGUCAAUAACCAAUUCUAGGUACUGGAACAGAGACUCUAGGUGUGCAAUGGGUUACUUGAUUCACCCUGUUCCCAAAGAGUUUGCUUAAUCCGAUAUACCAGAAUUAAUUAGUUGACAAAAUUUACUAACUAGUAGACAGUGGCAAGCAGGGUCGUCUCCUCAGGGAUUGGAGAUAUUUGUCUCUUUGAAGUUCCAAUUAGUAAAAAUGGGGGUUUUAUCGGAAUAAAACUAAAAAUAUUUAAGCAAUUCAACUAAAAAUAAAUAAUUAACUAGCACGAAUGUAGACAGGAAUUAAAUCAAGAAUAGAUAAAUUCUAACCAAGAAUACAACUACUCAGACACAGUCCAUUCAUCCAAUCAUUGAUGCAAGAGAUGUUCACUUAAUUUAUUAAUAGAUUAGUUAUAGUCGCCGACGAGCUCUGACGACCAAUUUUUCCUUAAUUUAUUGAUAACCAAGGUACGACAAUUGAUUACUUCUAACCAGAAAAUACUCCUAGGUAGGACCAUAGGAAUUAAUUUCUCAAUUGCAUUAAGAAUUAGAAAAACCUAACUCCAAUCAAUAACACGCUACGAGGGUUAUUCAAAUCAGAUUGCACGUCCCCCUAGUGUGUAAAAACGCUAGUUGCCACUGAUAUUAAUCGAUUAAAUAAUUACGGAUUUAAUUGACUAAUUUGGCAGGAGAUUAAUAAGUCGCAUUGAACAUUGGGCCCUUGACAUUUAAUUAACUAAAUAAUCCCAUAGAAAUUCAAACAGACAACGUGCAAAUAUUAACAAAUUAAGAAACACAUGAAAAUUAAUUCGAUCUCACAGAUAUUCGGGACUGCGUCGUCGCGUUGAUUCUUGACUAGAUGAAAAGCUUAAUCACACCGCAUAAGUAAAUCUCCACGCAAAUUAAUUGAUUCACAAGCCAUCACAUUUGUCACUAGAUAAUCAAGAAGUAAACGAUGUUUCUCCAGUCGGGACUUUUGUCGAACAAGAGUCACGCAUGAAAAGGAAAAGAAAGAAAACUAAACUGUCUCUAAACAAUGACUAAUGCUCCCUCCGUCGUUCUUGCCGCAUUGAGAGAAAAGGUACAAAAAGAAAGCUCUGCCGAAUUCCUGGUAUUUCGUUUCCUCUUGGUAGGAGGACUCCUAGUCAGCAACUCUUCAUCAACAAAAGGAAAAGGGAGUCGUUGCUUAGUACCCUGUGGGCCAGAUUCGUGAAGCUUUUUGAAGUCUCCCACGUGUGGAGCAAUUUUCUCCAACAGGUCCCCCUUUUUAGCACUUUUCAGUUCCACUUCCUGUAGAUGGUCCAAAUACCAAAUAUAAGUAUAUAUUAACAAUUUAAAACAAUAUUUGGUAAGGACAAAAGGGAAAAUUAACAAUAAAAUUACUAACAAUUAACACCCUAUCAAUUCCCCCCAUACCUAAAUCAUGUUUGCCUUCAAGUAUGAGAACAACUAAACCCAACAAUGGUCAACUCUCACGUCAUCUAUUUUCAAGCUGUGUUUAUACCAAAAUCAAGGUUCAGUGGCCAAGUGUCAAGACACAAUCCUCUCGGUUAGCUCCUGAAAUCACAGACUCGUCUAAUUCAUGGCUAACUCAUCUAGAAAAUCAAAAUAUUAAACUAGCAAUAGUCAGGAAUUGGUCCAACUGGCGACCAAAAUCUCAACAUUGAAGAACAAGGAUCGGCAGGCCAACAUGAUCAUAAGCUUACAUAUUUUUCACAUCUGUUCUUUUUCUUUCUUCCUUUUUUUUCUUUUUCUUUUUUUUUCUUUGUUUUUCUUCUUUUUUGAACGAAUAAAUGCUUAGUCCCAAGCCAUUCAAGUCUUUUGACAUGAAUUCUAACAUUUUUAGAUGAAAGAGUUCAGUUACUCAACUUUUCACCGCUUCAAGACCACCUACUCAUAGAUAUCGCCACUGUUUUGACGCGAGAGUCGACACUUGUGGUGACGACUCCCGGUUACUGGGUGACGACACUAGCGAAGUAUAGCCAUAUGUUAUUCACAACAAAACACCAAAAUAUCAGACAAUUAAAGAACAUGGCCCACGUCAUCUCCUAAACAUGGAGAACUAAGGUCAACAGGGGACCAAUCCAUACAACAGUUGCCAGCAAAAUAUUUAUAUUGCCUAAACAAGUUAACCACAAUUCGCACAAAGUUAUUAAACUCACAGUAUUCACCAAGACAAUAUGCUCUUACUUGCCACCGAAGCUAAAUUUAUAGAAUAAAACACAUCUAGCAAUAGAAGAGUGAGUUGCCAAUCAAUUGUUGAUCACCAAGAUAAGCAGUACCAAAAACAAAAAAUAAAGAGACACCAGUUGAACCCCCCCACAACCGAAUGGUACAUUGCCCUCAAUGUAACAAAUAAACAGCAAAAACAAGAAGAAAGGCAACGAAACUUCCCUGAAGUCGGGGUCACAGCGGUGGGUGAGGCGGAAAUGGUGCUUGAUGAAGCGGCAGCGAGUGCAAGAGGCGGUGGCGGCGCUUGGCAGUCGUGCGCGAGGAGGUGGCAAAGGGAAAAAGCAGCGGCGAUAAAGGAGGGUUUCGGCCGAAAUAGAAAAGGGAGAAGGAGAAGCAGGGCAAAAGAGGAAGAAAAGGGAAAGAAAGAAAGAAAAGAAAAAAAGAAAGAAAAAAAGAAAAAUAGUUUUUUGGGGUUUUCUCUCUUUUUUUUUUAAGUCAAAAUUUAAAAUUUGGUAUUUGAAAAUCGAAAUUCUGAGUUGAACGGGAAAUAUUUUUAAUUUUCAAUUUUUUAAUUUUUAAUUUUAAUUUUUUAAUUUUAAUUUUUUUUUAGGAUCUUGGGUCGUCAAAUAUGACGUGGGCACGCCAAAAUUAUAAAACGUCCAUUGACCUUGGGAGUCACUUUUUGCAACUUAACGCGUGCCCUCCUCGCGUAGGCACGCCAAGAUUCCAUUUCCUGCUGACGUCGCGAGAUGUUGAGAUUUUACCAACAUGGCGUGGGCACGCCAAGAUUGAUAAACGUCCACUGACCUUGGGAGUCACUUUUUGCGUGCCCUCCUCGCGUGGGCACGCCAAGAUUCCCUGUCCUGGUCACAGUGGGAAAAAAUAUGAAAAUUGACUAGUAGCCAAAUGAGAAACGACAAAUCGAAAGAAUUAAACAACAAAACAAAAAAAAAUAACAAAACAAAUAUUUGGAUUGCCUCCCAAAAAGCGCCUUUCUUUAACGCCUUUGGCUAGACGUUAAACAUCACUUCAAUUUGGAUGUAAUUCAAUUUUCGUUGUAAUUUGUGGCCUUCCUCCGGGAUCCAAAUAGCCAUUGAGUGUAACUUUUUUCCUUAAUUUUUUACUCAUUUUCACCUCAUGAAUUGCUUUCAUCCCAUGAUACUUGUUCGCAGCAACUUUAAAUUUACCCCUACAAGUAAAUUCAGAAAAUUCUUGCACAGAGGGAUUAGUAGCAUGCAUAGCGAACACAGAGUGAGAGUUUAUAGGAUGUUUCAUUGUAUCAAAAAUAUUAAAAUGGACUAUUUCUCCAUCAAAUUUCAUUGUAAGAGUACCCUUACUAACAUCAAUCUUAGUUUCGGCAGUACUCAAGAAUGACCUUCCUAAUAUAAUGGGUGAUGGAUUUGGGGCACUUUCAUCAUCCAUGUAAAGCAUAUAAAAAUCAGCAAGAAAAAUUAAUCCAUCUACUUGCACUAAAACAUCCUCAACUACCCCAUCCGGGUAAGCAAAUGUACGAUCAGCCAAUUGAAUUAUUAUCCCUAUUUCUUUCAAAGGUCCUAAAUUUAGAGAAUCAUAGAUUGAUUUAGGCAUUACAUUAAUAGAAGCUCCUAAAUCUAGCAUGGCAUUUUUUAUAUUAGAAUGUCCAAUCUUACAGGGGAUAGUAAACAUACCUGGAUCCCCAUAUUUAGGUGGUAGUUUCCUUUGUAGAAACGCUGAAACGUUCUCACCUACCACAAUAUGCUCAUCCCCCCUCAUCUUCUUCUUGUUGAUACACAAGUUUUUCAAGCAUUUAGCAUAUUUUGGCACUUGCUUGAUCGCGUUCAACAAAGGGAUAUUGAUUGCCACCUUUUGAAACACUUCUAGAAUCUCAUUUUCCUUAUCUUGCUUCUUCGAUUUCUCCAACCUGCUAGGAAAAAGCGGUGGGUUAGUUUUAACUAUAAUGAAUGGGUCCAGGAGUACCUUUGGAUCCUUGUUGCUUCUGCCCUGCUCUUCAAACUCUUUCUCAAUUCGUUCCUCAUCCUUGUCCUUAGGAAUCACGAGCUCGGGUCCUUGGAUUUGCUUUCCACUCCUCAAGGUCAUUGCGCUCACAUUCUUCAAGUUCAGUUCAGGUUGAGACGGCAAUUUUCCAUAAGUUUGAGAUUCCAGGUAGUUGAUUGCUAUUGCCAUCUGACUCAUCUGACUCAUCUGACUCUACAUUACUUGCACCUGUCCCAGUUGAUUCCUCAUAUUUUAUAGGUCAGAAUCCGUCUUUUACUGAUUAGCAAUUAAUUGCUUCAUCAUCUCUUCCAUAGACGGGCUUGAGUUUGAAGGGGGUGGUGGCAGGCGAGAUUGAUACUGUUGUUAGUACCCUUGUUAUCUAUUUGGUGCAAAAUUCGACUGCCUAUUUCCUCCAUAACUAAAGUUAGGAUGAUCUCUCCAACCCGAAUUGUACGUAUUGGAGUAUGGGUCGUAUGGCUGUCUUGGCGCGGGCGCGUGACCAGCCAUGUUCACUUGUUCCUCACUUUCUUCCUGAACCAAUGGACACAUCUCUGUAGAGUGACCCAAGGUAGCGCAUAUCCCACAUACCUUGGCUUGUGAGGCACUUUCCACAGCUAGUUAUCGCACGAAAGACGUCAAUUCAGAGAUUUGUUGUUGGAUGGAGGAUGUUUCUACCUCAUUCAUCGUACGCGUCGGGGUGUCCUCUCUUGAACUGAACUGCUGUGAAUUCUCAGCCAUCCCUUCAAUCAACUCCUAUGCUUCUCGAGGAGUCUUGUUCACCAAUGCUCCUCCACUCGCAGCAUCGAUUAUACUUCUGUUCCUGAAGAGUAAUCCCUCAGAGAAAUAUUGGAUGAGCAGUUGCUCACUUAUCUGAUGCUGAGGGCAUUUGAUGCACAACUUUUUAAACCUCUCCCAGUACUCAUAGAGGGACUCGUCUGGGUGUUGUUUGAUACCGCAUAUCUCCUUCCUCAGACUUGCAGCUCGAGACGCAGGAAAAUAUUUGUCCAAGAAUUUUUUCUUCAAUUGGUCCCACGUGGUAAUAUUACCUGGUGGUAGGUAGUACAACCAGUCUUUUGCAGAGUCCUUCAAGGAGAAGGGGAAGACCCUCAUUUUUAUCUGCUCUUCUGUGAUUCCCGGGGGUUUCAUACUGUUACAAACGACGUCGAAUUCUUGCAAGUGCUUAUAGGGCUCCUCUCCUGGUAGACCAUGGAAAGAUGGCAAGAGGUGAAUUAGAUCAGAUUUUAGUUCAAAGGGAGUGUUAUCAUUCAAACUUGGGAAAGUAAUGCAUAAAGGUUGCUGAUUUAAAUUAGGAGCAGCGAACUCCCUUAAUGUUCGUGCAUUAGUCAUAGUGACUUUCUCUUGAUCCGAGUCACUCGAAGUGUCACCAAACGAAUCUGUUGGUUCAACUUCUAGCUCAGGUCUCUGAAAUGUAUCACUGAAGUGCUCUUCUCUGAGUUGUCUGGUCUCUUUCCUUGUUCUACGCACAGUCUUCUCUACCUCGGGGUCGAAAAUUAAUUCACCUGUACAAGAAGAACGAGGCAUACACUUGAAAAGAAUUAAAAAUUAGAAAAAAAUGAACUUAAAAAGAAGCAAAUAACUGACGCCAAUCCCCAGUAACGGCACCAAAAAUUGACAGGUGCCAAACCUGUUCAAUAAUAAAAUAAAUAAACUAACUACCAUUAACGCAGUCAAUAAUCAAUUCUAGAUACUGGAGCAGGGACUCUAGGUGUGCAAUGGAUUACUUGAUUCCUGUUCCCGAAGAGUUUGCUUAAUCCGAUAUACCAGAAUUAAUUAGUUGACAAAAUUUAUUAACUAAUAGACAGUGGCAAGCAGGGUCGUCUCCUCAGGGACUGAGGAUAUUUGUCUCUUUGAAGUUCCAAUUGGUAAAAAGGGGGGUUUUAUCGGAAUAAAACUAAAAAUAUUUAAGCAAUUCAACUAAAAACAAAUAAUUAACUAGCACGAAUGUAGAAAGGAAUUAAAUCAAGAAUAGAUAAAUUCUAACCAAGAAUACAACUAUUCAGACACAGUCCAUUCAUCCAAUCAUUGAUGCAAGGGAUGUUCACUUAAUUUAUUAAUAGGUUAGUUAUAGUCGCCAACGAGAGUUCUGACGACCAAUUUUUCCUUAAUUUAUUGAUAAUCAAGGUACGACCAUUGAUUACUGCUAACCAGAAAAUACUCCUAGGUACGACCAUAGAAAUUAAUUCUCCAAUUGCAUUAAGAACUAGAAAAACCUAAUCCCAAUCAAUAACACGCUACGAGGGUUAUUCAAAUCAGAUUGCGCGUCCCCUUAGUGUGUAAAAAUGCUAGUUGCCACUGAUAUUAAUCGAUUAAAUAAUUACGGAUUUAAUUGACUAAUUUGGCAGGCGAUUAAUAAGUCGCAUUGAACAUCGGGCCCUUGACAUUCAAUUAACUAAAUAAUCCCAUAGAAAUUCAAACAGACAACGUGCAAAUAUUAACAAAUUAAGGAACACAUGAAAAUUAAUUCGAUCUCACAGAUAUUCGAGACUGCGUCGUCGCGUUGAUCCUUAACUAGAUGAAAAGCUUAAUCACGCCGCAUAAGUAAAUCUCCACGCAAAUUAAUUGAUUCACAAGGCAUCACGUUUGUCACUAGAUAAUCAAGAAGUAAACGAUGUUUCUCCAAUCGGGACUUUUGUCGAAAAAGAGUCACGCAUGAAAAGGAAAGAAAGAAAACUAAACUGUCUCUAAACAAUGACUAAUGCUCCCUCCGUCGUUCCUGCCGCAUUGAGAGAAAAGGUACAAAAAGAAAGCUCUGCCGAAUUCCUGGUAUUUCGUUUCCUCUUGGUAGGAGGACUCCUAGUCAGCAACUCUUCAUCAACAAAAGGAAAAGGGAGUCCGUUGCUUAGUACCCUGUGAGCCAGAUUCGUGAAGCUUUUUGAAGUCUCCCACGUGUGGAGCAAUUUUCUCCAACAGGUCCCCCUUUUUAGCAUUUUUCAAUUCCACUUCCUGUAGAUGGUCAAAAUAUCAAAUAUAAGUAUAUAUUAACAAUUUAAAACAAUAUUUGGUAAGGACAAAAGGAAAAAUUAAUAAUAAAAUUACUAACAAUUAACACCCUAUCAACGCUUCGUCUUCCCGCUCUGGUGGCCUAUAAAUAGGCUCCACUAGAUGUCACUUUCACGCUUUCUUCCUCAUUUUCUCAGCUCCCCAUCUUUUACUCAGCUCGCUCAUCUCCUCCUCCUACGAGAGUUAGUUCGGGCGUCCUGUCAAGAGUUCAGUCGUGCACUGCUGUCCGUGCGUCUCCCCUAAGCACCACUGAGCGCUCGAGCUCUUUUCCCCUACUCUUACUAGUAAGUUCCUUUUCUCCCUCCUUUUAUAUCUUCUUCCUCUGAGCAUUCUGACAUAACUAGUUCGGCCCCUAGGCGUAGAGUAGCCCGACCUGUACCCAUAAAGGUCAUCUCUUCCUCUCCUUCUCCUUCCAGUUCUUCACCUUCCAGCUCGUUAGAGUCAGAAUAUAUUCCUUCCCCUGCUCUUUCUCCUGUUCGAGCAAUGGCUCAACCCGAACAGCCUAUUCAGCCGAACAACCUAUUCAGCUUGCAGCUAGAACUGCUGCCAAGCAGUUCCACUUGAGGCAACUCCUCUACGAGCUAGGGCAGGGCCCUCCAGGGGGCCCGAUAUUGACUUCGGUGAAGUGGAUCUUAUCCCUCCCAUCCUGGAUCAGGGGGAUGUGGACGAAUAACCCAGCUCAUCCCUCCCAAAGGGGACUAGUGUUGUGGGGCCAAUCCGCAGGAUCGGGAUCGGGACGAUAAGGUUGUCAUGUAAUUGAUGCGACUGCCGAGAGCGCGUUCCGAGCUGAGCUGCGCUGGGCUGAAUGAACUGAGGAUGACCGAACUGGUACUAGCGGGGUGAGCGAGCUGACCUGCAAGAAAGACCAACGGCGGGACUGGUUCCCUGGUGUAGCUCCGACGGUCAAGUCAGUAAGAGUUUAAGAGUAGGGUAACAGCGUAGAUACUGUUGAUGGCGUACCUUGUUUUGUCUUGUGGUAGUGUAUUUAUAAGAUCCCGGGUAGUAGUUUCCCUAUAGGAUUAGGAGUCCGGCUAGAAAGGGAGUCUUUCUAGGGUUUUGUCUGCUAACUCCGAAAGGGUCGUGGGCUGCGGUCCACCAGGCCCAUCCAGUUGGGAGGCGGUGGCCAUGCGCGAACUGUCCUCCCUCCUGCCCGAGUUGUCUAGCCAAAUUGCCAGGUCACAAUGUUCGAACUGACACAUGGCUCCUGCGGAUUGGCCCCACUACAGCUUUCUUAAACUUUUUUCUCAUUUCUUUCCAAUUUGGAAGGAAAAAUUUUGGCUACUAUUCAUGCUCUUAAAUUCUUCCACUUCCUUUCUUUUCUUUCCUACUAAAAACUAACAAAUGAAGGAAAAUUUAACUUUUUCUUCUUUCCAUUUCUUUUCUGUCCAAAUCCUCCACUCCCAAACGAGCCCUUAGAUUUAUAUAAUAAAUAUACAGUGUGCUUUUGAUUUAAAAAGUGAAAUCCUUUUUUUUCUAUUAGUGUUUAAUUUGAAAUAAAUCUUAAAUUUUUGUUAGAGAUAAUCAAUAUAAAGUAUUUUUUUGGAGUAAAUGUAGAAUAAGUGAGGAAUAUAUAAAACUUCAAAAGAUAACCUAUAUAAAGAAGGGAAUUUUCUUAAAUUUGACUUACAAAUGAAAGAGAGAAUUUUAUAAAAUUCAGGGGUGCAAACAUGGUAUAAACUUAAAAAUUUUGAAAAAUUUGAAGGCCGUUGUACAAUUUUAUCAAAAUUGAGGGGGCCGGGGAGGGAGGGCAAUUGUCUACUCCUCAAUCCUAUGUGGCUGGAAUACUUAUCAAUGGAAUAGAUAGUAUAAUAAGAUUUUAACAGCAAAAAUUGUAGAAAAAGGGAUUCUUUGCCGAACUAUUCGACCCAUAAUCUGAAGCAUGUAGUGUUUUGGAGCAAGGGGGUAAGGUGGGAUCAACUCCAUGGCUCAGAGAGGCAAAGUGCCAUUCAUCGCCUAAUAGAUAAAUCCUUCUCUCAGUUAAAAGCCACACUGGUUUGCAACUAUCAAUUUGAAAAAAGAAAGCUAAUUUAAGAGGCAAUAUUUUAAGUUGUUUAAGGAAUAAAAAUGUUGAAAAAGCAUGAACUCAACUUUGGCCUACAAUAGGUUUUUUUUCUGUCUCAACAAUUCUUUUCUUAAUAUUCUUUUUAACUUUAGUGCUGUCAAUUUACUUCAUGGCCCAAAGGCAAAAAAACAAAGACUAGUGAUUGACACAAGAACAAUCUUUAAUGCAAAUUUCAAACUCAUUAAGAAAUGAGAGUGUGAAAUAAACAUUCAACGCGAAGCAUCUAAGCUGGAUCGCAGGCUGGAUGACAUUGAAAUUGUGGUGAAGAUAAGUUUUCAAAGUCUCUUUCAUUUCAGCUUACCUGUUCAUUGAUAGUUUCAUGCUUUAUGAUAAAAUUUUUUUCUUGAGCACUUUAUGAAAAGAAUAUUUAACUCAGUUUGCUCACUAACUAAUGAUUACACAAGCACUCAACUUCCGCACAUUUGCACGGGCUUAAUCUUGUAUUCUUUCUUUUUUUUUUAAUAAAAAUAUUAUUAUUUUAUUAAAUCUAUACUAGUGACAAAAAUUAUAUAAAUAAUAUACGGAUACAAACAGAUCUAAAUAGCAAGUGCUAAAUGUUACAGAUCUGAAAAAUUAAUAGAAUAUUAUACAGUGGAACUCACAAAAAUCAAAUGAUAAAACAUUUAUUGCUAAGAUUAUCUAUGCAUGCUUCCAAUUGUACGGUUUACUUCUUCCAGAUGGUAGGGUGAAAUCUGAGGGAUACAUUUAAAAAUUUUCAAAUCUGGCAAUCAACUUCGAAAAAACAAAAAAGAUCUAACACAAGAAAUAGAAAAACUACAAAAAGUCUCACCAGGAAUCCCACAAAAUCACGAUCGCCAUCUUUACAGCAGCCAUCGUCAACCAUUUGAUCUUCAAUUUUACCGUCUUUGGAACAAAAUUUUUCAUUAGAUUUCAUCAUAUAGCCCAAUCUUGCAGUUCAUCGUCACUGUGCCAGCACUGAAGUAAGCCCUCUUUUCCAAAUUUUCUUUUUUUGUAACUUGAAAUUUGUGUGAAUUAAUAUGCGCAACCUAUGGAUGUUUGGAUCUUUCAUAUUAUUAGUCUCCUCGAAUUUGUUCCUUUGUUCAUUCGUAUGCAAUUUUUUAAUCACAUAUUCUGUUUACCUGAGGAAGUCUGAAUUGUGAUGAAUUUUGUAUUGAUUCAAUAUCAAAUUUGAUUAAAGGGAAAAAGAAACUGCCCUACGAUCAUAGCAUGUAAGCAUGAUGGAAAAAUGCCUAAACUAAAUACAUUGUUGUUCACUGUUUUUUUUUCUUUGGUGUAAUUGGAUAUUGAAACGGUUGAAGAAAGGGAAAGGAAAAUUUAGGAUUGAAUUGGGGUGUUGGCACUUGCAAUUGAUCUGCAGGUGUUUUUUGUUUUCUUACAGUUGAUCAUGACGGAUUAUUAUGGACGAGUUCCAUGGGAAUUAUCAUCAGUUACAAAAAGAAAAUAAACGGGAAGUGCUUCAUAGAAUGGUAUCCUGAGAUAGUGAUUGUGAAAUCAGUAGCCAUCGCAAGUGGAUUGUCAAAAUUAAAGAUGUAAAGACAUAUAAGACUGCAGCUGGAUUGUGAUGGCUAAUCUUAUCCUAUGUAGUGAAACUUCUUGAUCUAUGAAACUCAUGUACAACAUGAGAUAUAUGUACACCAGUUAAUUUAUUUGGGUCUUUACAAGUAAAUUUUCACUUCAGAUUUAUUGUAGUGUUAUUUGAAACCAUGAAAACAGCAGAGAGAAGUUGAUCAUGAAAAAAACUACUAUAGCUGACAAGAUUGGCGUUAUUUGGAUUGUCGGUUUUCACUUAAAAAUUUUGAAGUAUUUUCUCAAUAUAUUUUUCAAUCACUUUUUUAACUCACAUACAUCACAUUAUUAUAAUAUAUAUAUAUAUAUAUAUAUAUAUAUAUUUAACGAAACUCUAUAAACUUACAAUUCAAACUGUAACUUUUCAUUGUAGUGCGUCCUUUAAAGUGACUUUCAUUUUAGUCCGUCCAUUUUAAGUGAUUUUAGUGCGUCCACUUCAAUUCAUGCACAGGAAGGACCGGUCCCAGAAUUCUGUAGCAGGACAAUGAUUUAGCGUGGCCUGGAAAAUUCUAUGGAAACAAGGCAAGAAUGUCACCUUUGGGGUGUCCAAUAAUGUUAGUGUCAAUCAACCUCACUAUUAAAAGAAGAAAAGAUUGUUGAUAAAUCCAUACAUCAAAUCCGUAUUCAAUAUCUUUACUCGAAAUUGUGCUCCCCCAAGGAAGUACAAGUAAACUUUUACCCAUCAAAUUUGCAUAAACAAUUUUGUGGCCUAGAGAAAAGUUCAACCUAGGAUGUUCAAGUAUAAGAUAAACAUGAAUGAAGGGAGAAGGUUGAUUGAGGCCCUAUUCAUCCUCAAAUUUGAUUACAUAUUCCAAUCUAUUGCCACAAAAAAAAAAAAUCAUGCUCAGCAAAAAUUAUUUUAAAAUAUAUGAAUAUAUGUGAAAGAGGAAGAGAAUAAAUACACAAUAUAACUUAAUAGUUUUAUUAACUAAACUCAACAAUAAUGCUCACAAAUAACAAGUUCUGAGUACUUCUAAUCUAAUUGGGUGUGUGUGUUUCUGUCUAUAAGAGAGAGGAGUAUCUCUCUCCCAACAUGAUAAAUGUUUAUAACUUGCUGAACUUUAAUAACCGGGACAUUAGGAAAUAUUUCUUUCCCGCAUCAACUUCGAAAUUCUUCUACUUACUAAACCAACAAAUAAAAAAACUUGCCACAUAAGUAAUUUAAUUUAAUAAUUAGGCUUGGUUUAAUUAUCUACACAACCAUUUGUCAGAUUUCUUGGGCAAUUACGUAGUCAACCCAACCUUGCUAACUGUCAGCGUAGAAGGACCUUAGAAAUUAAAUAACAGCUUAUCAUGCACUGCAUAAAAUACGUUUAUCUGUAGAGCUCGAGCUCGUAAUCAAUUUGUGAGUCACACUGAUCAAUUUGUGGGUCUUAGAGGUUUGAAGUUAAGAGGUAAUUCCGGCGAGAUUUGGAGUUGGGAAUUUUUUUUAUUUGUUUUCUUGCCUCCCAAGAUCUUAUUCUCCUUUAUUCCUUUGUUUGUUAUUACUUCUUUUUUUUUUUAAUGAGUUUUAAGAAGUUAUGGUGAUAGUGGUGGUUAAGAGGUUGAUGAUGAUAGUGGUGAUGGGAUGAUCAAGAGGUUGGUGUUGAUAGUGUGAUGUUCGGCUAAUGAAGACUGUGAGAUUUGGUAUGGAUUAUUACUUGAUUUCUAUUUCUUUUGAUGAAUUUUUAGAUAUUAAUUUGUGCUUUUUGAAGGGAUUUUGUCUGAGGAAUAUUUGUAGGGUUUAUGAAUUUGACUUUAUUCAGAAGAUGAAAAUAAAGGAAGGGUUAUUUUUGGAGGUUUGGUAAAUUUGAGGGUAAACAUGUAUAAUCUCUCUCUCUUUAUCAGAUUUAACUUAGUUUGUAAAUUGUGCAAAAAAUUAGAAGUUGAAGUAAUGGACUGCUAAAUUUAAAGUUUGGGAUGCAAGUUCCAAUUGCGAAAUUGUUGAGGGGUGCAAAUUACAAUUAACACUAUUUCUAUUUUAUUUUAUAUAUACAACUUGUUAAAGGACAACUAAGGAGGCAAUGGGGCGGGGUUGGGGUGGGGGACCCCAUCUCCGUCCGCUGCCCUACUGCCUACAAAUUCCCCCCCCCCGCGCCCAUCCCCAUCCCCCGCUUCUCCGGUGGCCUAAUAAAAAUUUAUUAUAUAAUUUUAUUAUAGUUAAAUUUUAGCAAAUAAUCAAGUACUAAAAUAUCAAUACAUCACCAAAUUAUUAUUCAUUGUAAUUUCACAAUUGAAACUUAUAAAAACAAUCAAACAAAAGUUAUUUGAAUACAAUCCAAUAGGAUGAAAUAAAUACAACUAAAGUAGUCAAGUUUCACUUUGGCACAAAUACAAUCACUAAUUCAUUAUUGUGCUUGUGCUUUUUUUGAGAAAAAAUGUUAUUGUAUUAAGUGUAAUUAGGGAUGUAGUAUAAAUGUAUUAGUAAAUUUAGUAUAACUGGUGGCUGUCAAACUACAAAAAUAAAAUUUAUAUUAGACCUACUACCAAAACUAAACAAGUAUAGUGGUAAGUAGGGUCGUCUCCUCAGGGAACCGGUAGAUUUAUCGCACACAGGUAAUUGGGGAAUUUUUGAAGAGAGAGAGAUAAGUGAAACAAAUUAAAGACAUAAGAUUACUAAAUAAACAAUCGCAAUAAAUGCAAUAACUCAAGAAUGAAAUAAACAAUUAAUUGACACAACCUAGUCAAGGAGAUAAUCUCGGCACCGGUUCACACAAUGAUUAUAGAUACCAGGAUAAUUCACACGUUCGCGAAUAAAUUGGUUCUAUCAAUUUAGCAACCGCCAAACUCCCAAUCUCUCCUUAAUUAUAUGGUAGUCCAAAGACGCUCUUAAACUACCCUAUUGUAAAUUAGAUAACCCCAGAGACACUCGAAGGAUUUAAUCUAAUCACAACUUUAGGAAUUAGAGAACCCAAUUCUAGUUAACAAACACACAUGCGGGUUCAUUUAAACUAGAUUAAUUAUUCCCACGACCCAGAUUAGAUUAGACUGCUUGCGAGGCAAUGAAAUUGUGCCAUUCGCCACUAAUUUAAAACAUUCAAGUGAUACGCACGCCUGUCCUAAUUGGCAAUAUAUUAUUUAGACAAUUGAACAACUGGCCAUAUUGAUCCAAUCAAUCCAAACAAUAACAGGCAAUUCAAACAAAGAAUAAUUAAAUACUCACAAACGCAGAAUUUAGAAUAAACAAAAUGAUCUCACAAUUAUUCAUGCUCCGGGCCUUGAUACUCCUCAACUAGAUAAAGAAAUUAGCCUUGCCGCAUAACGACGAAGCAAUUCAAAGUUUUCAUAGUAAUUUCGUUCAUGAAGAAAUCAAAAGUACGUCGGCUAGUUCUAACAAAGAUAAAAGCAAACGAGAAAAAGGUCCAAGUCAGAAGAUGAGAUCCCUAAUCUAUUGCAAUCUUCCUAUUUGUAGUGUCGCCGCCGCUUCCCCUUGCUUUUCGAAUUAGAAUUUGUUUCUCAAAAGGAUUUGCGUCCUUAUUUUCCUCCUUGAAUUGUUGCCAAAAGUCUUCUUUGAAAAGGCUUCCUAAUCCCACGCAGGUUCAAAAGGUGUCUCCAAAGAAUAGCGAAAGCUCCAGGGAUAACUGACGGUGGCUCCGUCUUUUUCACGCAGCUCUGCGUUAUCUGGCGUGGGCACCCAGAGAAUGCCUAGCCUUCUGGAAUUUGCCCUCCUCUUGUCACUUUUAACACACUCUCUCUGCAAAUAACACAAAUACCAAAUAUGGGCAGAAAUCCAGUGUCUUACACAUUAAGACCAAAUAACAGCGAAUAAAACACACAAUUAUCUCCCUAUCAAUAACCAAUUAAUAAUUUGUAUUAGUACAUAUAUAUAAUUAUUAGUAUAAUUGAUAAUAUCAAUUAUAUUACAUAUACUAAUAUACAUUAUAUAAUACAUAUAACUAAUAAUAUCAUUAUCAUAAGUUUGUAACUAAUUAAAUUAUAUAUUAUAUAUAUAAUUAUAUACAUAGAUAUAUUAUAUAUUUAUUUUUUUAAAGCGGGUGGCGGGGAGGAGAUAGGGCGGGGGUACACUCCCCUGUCUCCCACCCCAUUUCUAAGCCCCAGGGGUGGGGGGGGGGAAUUCCCCUCGGCCCCGUACCACCUCCCACCCCAUUAUCCCCCGCGGGACGGGUACCGGCGGCCACCCGCCCCAUUGCCAUCCUUAGGGACAACUGUCGUAUUAAGAGAAAUAUUUUAAAGGGAUAAUUUCAUAAACCUCCCCUGAGGUUUUUGAUAAUUUUAUGUGGCUCCCUUAAAGUUUCAAAAAUUACAUCUACCUCCCUUACCCAUUUAAAAUGACAAUACUAAUCUUAAUAUUUUAAUAAAACUCUCUUACUUCCAUGUUUAUAAAAAGGAUGGAUUUUACAAUUUUUUUUCUUUUUUCCUUCUUAUUCAUUUCUCUUAUAUUUCAUUAGAAGUAUAAAAGAACUAUCAAUGUUGUCGCUAAUAUCUAUCCAAAUCAAACUUUAAACUAGUAAUUUUUUUGAUGACUUUUAAUAUCAUCCAAUUUUUUGUAGCUCUUUUUUUUGUAUCAAAAUCAAGAAUAAAUCAACAAUAAUUAAAACACAAAUGGCCCAAAAUCACUACCAAACUAUGGUAGUUCUAUCACUAAACUAGUCCAUAAACUUUUAUUAAAAAAAUAGUCCAAAAAUUUCAAAAGCACAAGGUAACACUUUCUUGUCUAUCUUAAAAAGAAUCUAUAUUCCCAAUAAAGCACUAUAAAAAAUAGCUUAUCAUAGCAAAAGAUUUAUUGUUAUAGUUGAUUAUUAAAUAACAAAUAUUGACAUGAAAAACUUGGGACUCUUUUAUAUAUAUAUUAUAUAUAUAAUUGUGUCAAAUUACUUUACAAUUGUUUAAAAGAAUGAAUUGAACUUUAUAAUUAUCAUCAAACUUUGGCAAUCAACCUUUCCUUACUUUAUCGAUAAUCAGAGUAUGGUCACUAACUACUUCUCUGACUAAAAGAUAACCCAAGGUACAACCAUAGGAUUAAAUCUUUUAACAGCACCAAGAAUUAAAAAAACCUAAUUCUAAUCAACAAACAUGUUGCAAGAGUUCAUCUAAAUUAUAUCAUAUAUUUCCUGACAUAGACCCAAUUAUGCUAGUCAACACAAAUAUUAAAACAGACAAACAAUUACAAAUUUAAUUAUUUCAAUUGACAGUAGACUAUUGUGAAUAAUCAAAUAUUGGCCACUUAUUUAAUUACACACAAUAAUCAUCAUACACGUAAUACAGGAGAUAUACAAAUACCCACGAAUAGAUGAAACAGUAAACUUAAAUUAGAUAUCAUAAUUGUUUGUAGAACCAAGUUUUUGAUUAUCCUCUAAUUAGAAAGAAAAUUUAGCCACUUCUUAUGGAGAAAUGCAGCCAAGAAAAUUAGGUUUUUGUCUUGAGAGAAGAAAAAAGAUAAACCACCUAACUACGAUGACAAAGUGUAGAGAGAGUUGGGAAUUAGAUAUCGAUAUUCUCACCCUAACAAUCUAUAUGAUAAUCUCCUAAAAAUUAUUCCAAUAAAAGGAAUUAUCUUCCAUACUGGAAUAAUCUAUUUUCGUAGAUAAUGAUAUAAUAAUAUCCUUACUAACUAGUUGCAUCCAAAAAUAAAGUUUUCAAGGCUGCAGAGAAUCAAUCAAUUAUUCUCUUUAAUUGUUGAAAUUAAUCUCAGGUCCCACAACUUCUGAAUUUCCUAGGCUCUUUAAGGCGUGCCCAUACUUUUAUAGCAAAUAGACUUUUCAGCAACUCUUUUUAGUCCUCUUUCAUCCCAAAUUCUUAUGACAUCACUAAAACACAAAAUAUAAGUAGAAUCCACAAAAUAACACAAUAAUCUACUAAAAUGAAAGGAGAAUUGACACAAACUAUAUCUCAAUUAGGCACACUAUCAUUUAGUGACACAUGAUGAUGUAAGUAAUAUUACAUUAUUAUGAUGAUAUAUGUGCUCUUGAGUAUGCACCACAUCGUCCAUGAGUGGUUCCGAAAAUCAAGUUUUUAAGAAGGUUUUAAAACUGGAAAUCUUACCGGGUCAUAGGUUAUUAGUUCAAUCGUUAGGCUACAUGCUGUGUUUUCAGACUCGGACCGGAUCGGCCGGUCGGACCGGUUGGACCGGGAACCGGCCAGGCAUCCGGUCCGAGUUAGUUAAAAAACUCGGAUGUUAUAAAAUCGGUCAAACCCGGUCCGGUGAACCGGAAAUUUUGAUUAACCCCGGUUUUUUUUUCUUUUUCGGCCUUUUUUUAGUCAGAGUUUGACAAAUCGGACAAAAUUGAAAAUUGACAAGGUCACAAAACUUGCGUCGGCUACUCUGCUGCUUCUCUUCUCAUACAUUUUCUUCCUUUCUUGACUUUCUUCUUCAGAUCUCCACCGCAUCUCUUGAGAUUCAUCGAUCAUCCUUCAAUCUCUAGCCUCCACCGCCGCAACAGCCACCAGUUCCUUCAGAUUUCAAGACAAUCAAGUAAUUAGCAUGCGGGUGAACUGAAGCUUUGUUUGGUAAUUUUUACAAUCUGAAGGUUAUUAUUGCUGAUUCGUUAUGCUAAAGUUGAUAUGUGACUGGAAUUUUUUGAUUCAUUAUGCUGGACAUUUGGGAUUUGGAUAUUACGGGUGUGACUGAGAAGCUGGAGUGUUUAAUUAUAUUUGGGAUUUGGGAUUGGAAUAGUGGGGUCAGGGGAUCAGGGAAAACGGCUCUUACACGGAAGGUGUUUGAUAUUUUGCCUGUGAGGAGGAUGUUCUCACCGAGGAUUUGGGUUUCUUAUAUGAUACCCUUCAUGAUGAACCGGUGAGCGUAGACUUGAGAGUGAAGAUAUUGAGGAAAAUGCUAGAGGCAGUCUGGUUGUGAUGUCUCGGAAAUGAUGACUACCUAUGUUGACAUUCCCAAGCUCACUCAGAAGCUUUACCAACGGUUAAUGGGCAAGAAACUGAGUUCUCACUUCUGGUCUAUCUUCGCUUGGAUGUUCAAAGUUCCAUGCAGCCAUCAAUGUAAAUUUCUGUGAUAUUUGUCUCUAAGCAAUGAAAACUUAUUUUGUCUUUUGUCUUAAAAAAAAAAGAUUGAUAUUUAUCAAGCAUUUGAACAUGAACUUGCUACCUUAUUUGGAUUGCUAUUUUUUAAGGAUUAAACAUGUAUGGGAUUUCUAUUUUAUAAAUUUUGUGAGUUUGGAUGAAUUUGGUUAUAUUUUGUAAAUUUGAUUUGCAGGUAUAUAUAUAUAUAUAUAUAUAUAUAUAUAUAUAUAUAUAUAUAUAUGAGGUAUAUAUGAUGUCAUCCGGGUCGACCCCCUAUCGACCCCCGUCGAAUCCAUUGACCCCACGACCUGACCUCGACCGAGUCGAGUCCUGGUCCGAGUCUGAAAACAUAGGCUAAAUGUUACCAAGUCAUUGUUAAUCUGUGACAUCAUAUAUAUCAUAAAUAAUUAAUGUCAAAAAUCGUUCAAUACGUCCCUUAUAUUUUGCUAAAUGAUUUUUUUGGUCCUUCGCUUUUAAAAUGUUAAUUUUAUAUCUAUUACAAAUUCAAGUUAGCAAAAUUUGGUUCCAAUCUAAAUUUUUGACUACUUUUUAGCCUAAGAUCGCCAUGUGACCUAUAUGCAAUCAUUUUUUAUGUAAAAAAAAAAUGUCAAAUACCACUUUUUUAGUGAUAAAAAUAAAUAUGGAUUGGGUCAAAUUCCAUUUUUGUUUUAAAAAAAUGAAUAUGAUUUGGAUUAGAUCAUACUUUUUAAAGUAAAAAUGAAUAUGGAUCGAAUAAUUUAUUUAACUACAAAUGGGAUGUAACCACUGUUUAAUACUAACAACUGUUAAGUGGAUAGGAACACGAAUAGUAAGAAAUUUUGGAUUUUGUAAACAAUUUUGAGCAAAAUUAUAAUUUUUUAAAGGUGAAAUGAUAGAAACUUAAAUAUGAGGUAACAUUGAAAUCUAAAAGUAAGUAUGAGGGCUAAAUGGUAAAAUGUCAAAAAGUAUAGUGCGUUAAUCGUUUCCUAUAAUUAUAUAUGCUAAUGUGGGGCCACAUUUUUUUUUUUUAAAAAAGAAAAGCAAGACUCAAAACGGUUUAGUAAAAACACGUCGACGGUUCGUUGGUCCGACCAAACGAUCUAGUUGGUUUUUACUAUCUAGACCGAUUUUUUGAUCCGUCUUAGUUUGAGACUUGGUUUAGUUCAGAAAGCUACUCGAUCAAUAGUUCAAUCAGUUCGCUCAAACAGUCAAAACUGAGUUUUAUAAUAUUAGUUUUUAUUUAAAUAUUUUCAAUACCCAUUUAUAAGAUUAUGGCAUUUGUAAGUUCUCCAAGAACCAAAAAUAAAAAGAUAUUUGUGCUAUAGUUGAAAUGAUGAGUGAAGAAAUUUACUGAUGCUGUCAAUAAUGUAUCGACGGGAUACUUAAGCAACGAAUAAUACUUUUCUUUGGGUAAACUAUCAAGUAUUAUUGAUGAAGCACAUAUUACACGAACCUCCAGGGGGAUGGCCACUAUUUGGCCCGUCUUCAAUUCGCCACACAAGUAGCUGGACUCAUCUAUAAAAGGGUCAAUCUUUGGGCAACCAAAUGCACGCCAAACCCAAAAAUACACACGAAAGCAAGCCUGCAAAAACAACAGAGAGGAAAAAAUGGCUCCCUGUUUUAGAGCACUAGUCAUAGCAAUAACAUCGCUGUUGAUGAUAUCUUCAGUGAUCAGGUCUUCCGAUGCUGCUGGAAUUGCCACCUACUGGGCCAAAACACCGACGAAGGAAGCCUGGAAGACGCAUGCCGGAGAGGUACCUAUGACUACGUGAAUCUUGCCUUUCUGAUAAAUUAUGGCAAUGGCCAGACACCAGAAUUGAACUUAGCUGGGCAUUGUGAGCCAAGCGCUUGCUCCUCGCUUAGUUCUGAGAUAAAAGCUUGCCAGAAACGAGGCAUCCAAGUGCUUCUUUCUCUCGGUGGAGCUCCAAAC